UAUGGUUUUCAUCGUCUUUAGAUCUUGAUUUCGUGAUUGGUCAUCUACUCUCAGCAUUACUGAUUAAUUUCUGUUCUAAUGUAUCAUCUUGUGGACUGUCUGUGAUUUGAAGCAGUUAAAGAUCUAAUUUUGAUUCUGUCUUAACAAUUUUCAUCCUCUUGUUGCCUUGAUUCGUAGUUGUAGUUUUAUAAUCUUAAGUGCUGAGUGUAGCUCGUUGGGAGGCUAUGAAAGCCCCAAGUUUCAUAUGAUAAAAUGUGAGCUUUCAAACUUUGUUGUUGUUUCUGCAUUUAGGACACAUUGAUUUUUAGAGUUUCUGAUUUCGUUAUAAUUCAUCUGGGAGCAUUUGCUUUUGUUCAUACAAUGUUUUUGAUGAAAAUUUUCUUCGAAUUCGACUUUCAUGAAUGCCGUAUUGUUUAUAUGAUGACCUUCUAGCCUAAGGAUUGUUGCUAAUAUCCUGUUCUAAAAAAAAAGAAGGGUUAUUGAGUCACUUUAUUCCUGUAAACGAUUGAGUAAAAGUGCAGUGUUUCUUUUCUGUUAAAAAGGAUGAUAGGGUCAAAGGGUUUUGCAUUCUCUUUGGGAGUUGCUAUUAGGAGCCUCCUUUGAGACCAUUAUUUAUAAAGGUUAAAUAAAAAGAUGUCUAUUCUAUUUAUAUUAUAUUCUCUCAUUUAACCUGCUUUGAUAUGAGUUUAACACAUACACUUGUAGUUAUUCAUUGAAAAUUGUUUCAAAAAAAAAAAAUUAGCUUUUCUUGCGUCAUUACUAACUCGUAUGAGCUUGUAUAUCUCCUUUAUGAAACUUUUAGGAUCCUGUUCGUUUGUCUAUUAAAUGCAUCUCUUCUUGCAUCAUCUUAUUGAUGUUGGGAAAAAAAAUGUUUUUAGUCGCAUUGUUUCUCCCCUCUUUCCCAUUUACUUCAGUACCUAAGGUUAAGUGUUUUGAUCCGUUUGAAUAUCGAAUAGUUUCCACGUUUUAUUUAAAGCCAUCCUUUCUUUUUCAUAUUAUUGUUUGCUAAAAAAUUUUUGAUAGGAUAAAAGUUGUUUGCGUGCUGUAUGCGUGGUGACAUGCCUAAUAAUGUGCUUACUCUACGGGGACAUGUUGUUAUUUCUUCUCUCAAAGAUAGGUCUAGUAAAUUUGGGAGAAAUUCUAUUUUAGUUGCUUCCUGAUUCUUCGCAACUCUUUGUUGUUAUCUUGAGUUUUAGUAAUAGCCAUCUAUACCUAAAAGGGCUAGAGAACAAUAAUCAGCAAAAGAAAAAAAUAUAUAAUAAUAAUAAUGAUUAACUCCUAAGCACAUCAAAUUGGUCUGAUUGCUAUUUUCCAUCACAAUGCAUGUGUGAAGUUGAUUCAUUUCUCUUGAAAUUCUAUAUUUUGAACCAUCAUGGGUUCCUUUUCAUCGAUUGAUCCAUCAUACUACUUACUUGUGUGGCGUUUGGUAUUCUGGAUGCGUUUUGAUUUCCUUUAUAUUUUUCCUUGCAUGUGAAUUCGUUUUGGAGUCCAAAUGGAUUCUUUCCCAUUGCAUCUCUUAAUGGGCCAUUCAGGCCCUCCAUUCCUAUCAAGUCAAGCCCUGAAAAAAAGCCUAAAAUGAAUUGCAUGGCGUACGGAUAUGAGAAGUCGAAAGAAGAGAGAAGAUGGAUUAAAGCCCCAUUUUUAAAGUGGCGAAGAGACUCAAAAGUCUCAUUUUUUAGUUUAUUUAUUUACUUAUCGAUUUUAUUCAUUUAUUUCUUUAUUUAUUCAUUUGGGCCACGAAGCCAAAGUUGUGCUUAAUAUAGGUAGAGCGAUACUAGGACAGGUGAAAUGGGUCGAAAUCCCAAUUAGACUAGGACAGGUCUUAUUGAUUUGGGCCCAGUGGCCUAAAUCCCUUACUUUCUCCCCUUCCCCUUUUUCUUUACAUUUCUUUACCUUAUGUGUUUUGGUGAACCUAGUUAAAUCCUUAGUCAAGUCGAUAAAAAGUUAGUUCUGCAUAAACACCAAAAUCUUUUUCAAAAAUUGCCUUCUUUUCAAAACUAAACCUUUUUCCAAAGUUAGUCAAAGGCGAUUUCCAAACAGUCCGGAUAACCGCAAGUUAGCGGACGUUUUAGGUGCCUAACACCUUCCUAAAACAUUAAUAAGAACCGCUUACUCAGAAUCUCUUAACUUAAACAAUUUUUCUUUUUUGGAUCGUUUGAAGUAACUCUAUAAAGGUUUCUAAAUUCCUUUUCAAAAUUAAGUGGCGACUCUCUUUCAAAAGUCAAAAUUUCCGCAAAACGCGCUUCAGCCAUAAUUCUCUGCCUCAAAUCAUUAACAUUCGGAACACAGUCUACCUUGCAAUCUCAACAUAUCAUCUACCCCUUGGGAGAAAACCUCUACCUUAUGGUCCUUAACUGAAUCCUUCAGUCUGACCAAAUAGGAUCCCUAUCCUGCUUCUUCUUUACCUCCAAGACCAAAGAGGACUCGAAACUGCUCUAAACUAACAUACUCCCUUCUGCGGAAUCAAGAAAUCUAACACCCAACCUAGACAAACGAUGCACAUCACGAGCUAAUUCUUUCUUAUCAUUCUCUAUAUGAGCUAUACUAACCAUAGACAACCUGCUAAGAGCAUCUUCCACAAUAUUGGCCUUGCUAGGGUGAUAUAUCACACUCAUAUCGUAGUCUUUUAGAAAAUCUACCCAUCUUCUUUGUCUAAGGUUUGUCUCCAGAUUUUCAAAGCAAAAACUACAGCUGCUAAUUCAAGAUCAUGGGUUGGGUAAUUCUUCUCAUGAGGCUUCAACUGUCUAAGGCAUAAGCUAUAACUUUACCCUUAUGCAUCAACACACAACCCAAACCAACUCUAGAAGCAUCCCAGUACACCACAAGACCAUCAGUACCAUCGGGUAAAGCUAACACUGGGGCUGAAGUGAGUCGAGUCUUCAACUCUUGAAAUCUCUUCUCACAGGCAUCUGUCCACUGGAACUUAACUUUCUUUUCGGUCAAUCGGGUCAUGGGGGACCCGAUUGAAGAGAAGCCCUCAACAAAAUGACAGUAGUAACCAGCUAAACCCAAGAAACUCCUAAUAUCAGACGGGGAGGUAAGUCUAGGCCAAUUCUUCAUAGCUUCUGUCUUUUGAGGAUCAACUCUUAUACCUUCGGAAGAAACAAUAUGACUCAGAAAAGCAACUGACCUUAACCAAAAUUCACACUUGCUAAAUUUAGUAAAUAAUUAAUGAGCUCUAAGGGUUUCCAACAUGAUUCGAAGAUGAUCUUCAUGGCCAUCCUUACUUAGAGAAUAUAAAAGAAUAUCCUCUAUGAACACAAUAACAAACAAAUACAGAUACCACUUGAAAACUCAGUUCAUAAGAUCCAUGAAAGCUGCUGGAGCAUUGGUUAACCCAAAGGACAUGACAAGAAACUCAAAAUGACCAUAGCGGGUUCGAAAAACUGUCUUUGGAAUAUCACACUCUCUCACUUUAAGAUAAUGAUAGCCGGAUCUAAGGUCUAUCUUUGAGAAAUAACUUGCACCCAGUAGCUGAUCAAAUAAAUCAUUGAUUCUAGGAAGAGGGUACUUGUUCUUAAUAGUCACCUUGUUGAGUUGAUGGUAGUUAAUGCACAUACGCAAUGUACCAACUUUCUUCCACACAAAUAGAACAGGUGCACCCCACGGGGAAACACUGGGUCUGAUAAAGCCUUUUUCUAAGAGUUCUUUGAGUUUCUCCUUCAACUCUUUAAGUUCUGCAGGAGCUAUACGGUAUGGAGGGAUGGAGAUAGGCUGAGUUUCAGGAAAAAGAUCAAUCCUGAAUUCUAUUUCUCUAUCAGGUGGGACCCCUGGAAGGUCUUCAGGGAAAAUAUCAGGAAACUCUUUAACAAUGCUAAUUGACUGAAUAGUCGGAGUCUCAGACUUGAGUUCUUUAACUCGAACUAGAUGAUAGAUGAAACCCUUGAAAAUCAACUUCCUAGCUUUGAGGUAGGAUAUGAAAUGGCUCUUUGGAGUUAUAGAACUCUCGAACCACUCAAACACGGGUUCGUUAUGAAACUAAAACUUGACCACUUGGGUAUGACAAUCUAUAGACGCAUAGCACGAGUGAAGCCAAUCUAUACCCAGAAUGAUGUCAAAAUUAACAAUAUCUAGCUCAAUCACAUCAGCACAUAUGACCCGAUGAAGGACAACACCAGGACACUUCUUAUACACUCGCUUAGAAAUAACAAACUCUCCUACCAGGGUAGAAACAAGAAUAGGCUCAGGAAUCCAUUCAAGUUCCAUCUCAAAACUUAUAGCAACCAGAGGUGUUACAUAAGAGAAACUUGAACUGGGGUCCAUUAAUACAUACACAUCAAAAUGAAAGACAUGGAGCAUACCAGUGACAAUAUCUGUAGAAUCCUCCUGCUCCUGGCGAGGUGGUAUAGAACAGAAGAAAUUCUGGAAUGAACCGCCAACAGUACUAGAAGAGACGCCCUGCGGAGGAACUGGGCAGACUACGAGAACGAGGGCACUGGUAGCUUGACUCUGGGGAUGAGCAUCUUGACUCCCCUAUCUGGCAUACGGAUAAUCUCUAAGUCGGUGGCCCAACUUGACAAAACCAAAGCAACCUCUCUGAUCAACAAAACACUUGCCAAAAUAAUCUCUACCAUACUUGGCAUAUAAAGGAAGACAAGGUCUGUUACUUACACUUUCCUGAGAAUUGGACGGGAUAGGCCUGUUCCCCUGCUCCUGCCUACUUCUAGGUACGGAAGCACUAACUAAGGAAGGCGCGGGCAUAAAUUGACAUCUCUGGAAUUAAGGGAAGUCCCCUCCAUAGAAUCUGGAAUGACCAAAUCCCUGCUGCUCUGAUCUAGCUAUUUUAUUCCCUCUUACUCUCUCUCUCUCUCUUUUUCACCUUAUCAGCUUUAAUCUGUUGGGCAUGCAUCAUUAAUCAAUAAAGGUCCAUCUCCUUAUUAAGCAUAGCAGAUCUACCCUCUUUCACAAUAUAACUCGACACACCGGUCACGAACUUACUCAUAAUGGUCCUGGAGUCAGCCAUUAUACUAGGUGCAUAUUUGGACAACUGAUUAAAUCUAAGGGUCAUGGAGCCUUGUCACAAAUUCAUAAAUUCCUCUAUAAUUGUUUCCCUCAUCUCAAGAGGAAAGAAUCUAUCCAAGAACGCAUCCUGGAAUAACUACCAAGUCAUGGGAGCGGGAUCCUCCACUCUACUUUCCCUCCACACUUCCACCCAAUCAUAUGCAACAUCUUUCGCUCGAUAGGCAGCCAAUUCAACACUCUCCUCCUCAGUCACGUGCAUAAUCUGGGUGAUCUUUCUCACUUCAUCCAAGUACAUUUGUGGGUCUUCACCUACCUUCGACCCAUAGAACUCAGGUGGAUUUAUCUUUAUAAAGUCACAAACCCGAGCUGCAGCAAAAUUAUUCUCUUGCAGAAGUGGAACAGUAGCCUGGUUGUUAGCUUGAGUAUUGCGGUAACUGCCUGGGCUACCACCUGAAAAUCUGCCCAGAAUUAUGUAUGUGACACAUGCUCGUUCAGGGGAUCAAUGGGUUAAGGUUGCUUAUUGUUUCUAUGAGCUCAACGAGGAGACAUUUUCUGUCAUAAGAGAGGCCGAAUUAAUAGCAGAGAGAAGUAGUCGUAGGCACGAUAGACUUUUGAAUGAAAAAUAUGACUUUCCCUAAAACUUCUUGUAGCCUCUAGCUCAUAGAUAUGGCGCGCUACACACCGAUGAUCAAGAAUCUACAUAACAUGGCUUGCCUGUCAUCACUUCUAGAACUCACUUUGACAAUUGUCAUUCUAAUAUAAGAGAGAAUGACAUAUCAUAAACAUACUGGAAUAAGAUACGAAACUAGCCUGUACAAUCCAAAAUACUGAAAUUCUGUACAUACCAACCCUUUAGCCUGACAAAGCCUAUAUACAUCAAAAUCAAGGAGACAAUGUGACAAACCCCCAAAUGACUCAAAAAGUAAUGAAAGCUAUAACAAUAAAAUGGUAUCACAAAAUUAUAAACACGGUCCUCGAACCAUGGGGACUCACCACUGAGAAGAUGAAAAGAGGCACCCGAAUAUAUAUCACUAACGCGGCUGAGUACCUGAACCUACAUUACGAGAAAAUGUAGCCCAUAGGAAAAUAUGUGGGUCAGCACUUUAAAAUGUAUUGAGUAUGUCAGGGUGCAUGCAACAAUGUAAAUAUCGUCAUCAAUUUCAUGAAAGUAUGCAUAUGUACAAUGAUGGCUCAUUUGGCUUGCGGUANNNNNNNNNNNNNNNNNNNNNNNNNNNNNNNNNNNNNNNNNNNNNNNNNNNNNNNNNNNNNNNNNNNNNNNNNNNNNNNNNNNNNNNNNNNNNNNNNNNNNNNNNNNNNNNNNNNNNNNNNNNNNNNNNNNNNNNNNNNNNNNNNNNNNNNNNNNNNNNNNNNNNNNNNNNNNNNNNNNNNNNNNNNNNNNNNNNNNNNNNNNNNNNNNNNNNNNNNNNNNNNNNNNNNNNNNNNNNNNNNNNNNNNNNNNNNNNNNNNNNNNNNNNNNNNNNNNNNNNNNNNNNNNNNNNNNNNNNNNNNNNNNNNNNNNNNNNNNNNNNNNNNNNNNNNNNNNNNNNNNNNNNNNNNNNNNNNNNNNNNNNNNNNNNNNNNNNNNNNNNNNNNNNNNNNNNNNNNNNNNNNNNNNNNNNNNNNNNNNNNNNNNNNNGUCGUACUCUUGCCAGGGAGUAUAACCUAAAUUUAGUGAUCACAAUCUCAUACACAGCCUCAGGCCCACAAUUAUCAAUAUCAAUCCUACGGUGGCACGUAGUUUUGGGGGAAAUACUACAUUUACCACUUGGUGCUAAAUAAUACUCCUAGACACAAGCUCAGAGCGUGUUAGGAAAUCCACCACAAACAUCACAAGGGUCUAUCAUAAAGACCAAAUGAAAUCUCUUUGUCAUUUAUCAAAUCAUAAUCAAUUUGUGGAUUCCUAACUCUACUCAAAUCAAAUCAAUCUUUCUCAAUAUUAAAAUGAAUCAAUUCAUUAUGUCAUGGAAACAUCAAUAACUUUGAGGAAAUAUCAAGACUCAUUGUAACAAGUCAAUUCUCAUGAAUCAAUAUACUCAAUAAUCCAAUUGUUCAUAAGGAAGGUUAAAGCUUGACACAUAGCUUGAAAGCACUAGAAAUACCAACUCAUGGACGAAACUUGAAAUUCAUAAUAUUAAAUAUCAAGUCAUAACUUGGAAAUUGUAAAAUAAUCAUGUAUAACAAAUCUUGAACGAUUUAUAUUCUCAUAAUCUCAUGAUGAAUUAAUCUGGGUAUAAACCCACUUGCAAAAUCAUAUAAAUCCAUAAUAAAAUCAAAGCUUUGAGCAAAAGAACGAAAUAAUUGCUCUUGUUCAGAACCCCGCAUACCUUAAUCUUUGAAAUUGGUUGAAAUAUAGAGCUUGAGACUUUACUCACACUUGUAAUUAAAAAAUUUCUUGAAGCCCACUCUAUGAGGAACUUGAUUCUUGAAGGAAUCUUGAAGAUUUAUGGAUGAUGUUUGGAGGAUUAAUUUCCUUAAAUAAAACCCUAGAUAUAUUUCUUAAGAGAAUUGGAAGAGAGAAAUGAAGAAAUCAGGUUUUGGAUGAGGAUUCUCACAUAUAUAGAGGCCUCCAAAAAGGGAAAAGGACUAAAAUACCCUUGCAAAAAUCGUCCAUCAAUUGCUGAAAAAAAUAGCUGAUGACAUCCAUGAUAAGCUGUUAGGCCUAUCAUAGGCCAUCACGAAUUGUCGUCACAAAAAGGGUGGACUUUGUGAGGUGACGACAUUUUGUGACGGGCCGUCAGGCUUGUGACAAGUCGUCACAAAAGGUCAUCACGGAUUUUUCAGUAUGACACGCUGGAGUAAAAUAAGCAUAACUCUUUGCUCCGAUAUCGGAUUUUAAUGAAAUGGGUAUAGUUGGAAAGAUAAUUCAAUUAUAUAUAUUUUGGUAGGUCAUGAGAUCAAUAAUUCCUAGUACAAUGGGAGAUAUUCUCAUUUAAAGUUGACUAUGUGAAAAUCCUUCUCAAGAAUUCAAUCGGUAAAGAAUGUUUUGAUUCGCCCAAGCGUUAGGGCAUCUUUAAAGCCUUAAUAAACAUCACCCUUGGCCAGGAAACAACCAAAAAACUAUAAUUUAUUUCUCAUGGGAUUGUGUCAUGGUGGCACUAUUGGUUAGAAUCUCGGGGUAUUACAAUCCCUCCCCCUUGGAAACAUUCGUCCUCGAAUGUUGCUAGAUCGGCCAAGAACAAGUGAAAUAUGAGGAUUUAUAGCUGGAACAACUCACUCAAAAGACUUACUUCACUCUAUACCUUCGAAUAGUACAGAAAAUACACGAAUCCUUGAUGAAAGUAGACACACUGCUGAAUCUUUAAUAAGAAGGAGGCGGAAUUAAGAAAGAAUGAUACCUUCUGCUCGCUCCGAACUCACAGAAAAGAGUCGAGGGUACUUGGCUCGUAUAUCAGCUUUGUCUUCCCAAGUAGCACUCUCAACAUAUUGAUUUUUCCAAAGCAUUUUUACCGAAGGAACUUCUUUAUUCCUUAGCCUACGGAUCUACAAAUCCAAAAUCUCAACCAGAAUCUCCUCGAAUGAAAGGCUAUCCUGAAGUAAAAUAAGUAUAAUUCCUUGAACCGAUAUUGGAUUUUGACGAAAUGGGUAUCGUUGGAAAUUUAAUUCAAUUAUCUAUCUUUUGGUAGGUCAUGAUCUCAAUAAUUCAUGGUACAACAGGAGAUAUGCUCAUUUGAAGUUGACUAUGCCAAAAUCCGUCUCAAGAAUUCAAUCGGUAAAGAAUGUUUUGAUUCGCCCAAGCGUUAGGAAAUUUUUAAAGCCUUAAUACACAUAAACCUUGACCAUAAAACACCAAAAAACUAUAAUUUAUUUCUCAUGGGCUUGAGUCAUGGUGGCACUGUUGGUUAGAAGCUCGGGGUAUUACAUUAUUACUUUUAAUUAUCUUUGCUACUUACCUUUCUGCAAAUAUAAUGCAAAUUUAUCUUAUAAUGUUAUAAUUGAAUUAAAAAAAUAUUUGAGAUCAACCACAUAUUUUUGAUAGUAAAUGAUGUAUUAUAUUUCUAUUAACAUAGUGAAUUACUUAUGUAGGACUUAAUUACCUGCAUAACUCAAUGCUAAAAUAAUAUAUAGAUAAUCCCUAAAUUAAGUAAAUCUGCAUAACUCUAAUUGAGGCCCUUUCAUUAUUUACUUUUGUCUUCUAGGUUUAAGUGGGUAAAUAGAUGAAAAGAAAAAGAAAAGACUCUCACAUCUAGUUUCCCCAGAAGCACCUCUUUGGAAGAAGCGUGUUGUUGAAGCAACUCAUUUUCAGAUUAAAGCAGUCUUUUGUUUUGUUCCUCCUUAGAAACAAAAGCAUGAGCCGGGGCAACCAUUUUCUUUUCUCACAGGAAAUGAAGAACAAGAAGAACACUACAAUUUAAAAGCAAGCUUUAAAUUUCAAAAACAAAAUAGAAAUCAUGAGAGCAAAAGGGGAAAAAAAUGCAAAAAGACCUCACCAGUAGUAGGCUACAAAGGAUGAGAGAGAGAGAGAGGAAGGAGGGUUAUGUUAAAAAUGAAAUGAAUACAGUGGAAGCAGAGCACAUCUAUCAAAUAUUCUUUAAAAACACACCAGCUACAUCACCGACGUUUCAAAAUCAAGGCAACUUUUUAUCCUGUUCAGAAAAAAAUUUCAAAGUGUGAGUUGGACUGAGGUUGUCUUAACUACGUAAAUUGGUUUUCCCUCUUAAAAUAUUCAUUUUUAUAUUCCUUUUAAUUGAACACAAUUUUAAGAGGGCUAACUAAUUUACGCAGUUAAGACAACCUCAAUCCAACUCUCACAUUUUGAAUUUUUUUUCUGAAUAGGACAAAAAGUUGCCUUGAUUUUGAAACAUCGGUGAUAUAGCUGGUGUUUUUAAAGAAAUAAUAUAGAUGUGCUCUGCCUCUACUGUAUUCGUUCCAUUUUUCAUAAAACCCUCCUUCCCCUCUCUCUCAUCCUUUGUAUCCUAGUACUGGUGAGGUCUUUUUGCACUUUGUUUUUCCCUUUUUGCUCUCAUGAUUUCUUAUUUUGUUUAUGAGAUUUAAAGCAUGGCUUUAAAAUUACAGUGUUCUUCUUGUUCUUCAUCUACUGUAAGAAAAGGAAAUGGCUGCCCCGGCUCAUGCUUUUGUUUCUAAGGAGGAACAAAAUAAAAGAUUGUUCGAAUCUGAAAAUGAGUUGCUUCAAUAGCACCCUUCUUCUAAAAAGUUGCUUCUAGGGAAACUAGAUGUGAGAGCCUUUUCUUUUCUCUUUCCAUUUGUUUAUCUACUUAAACCUGAGAAGCCAAAAGUAAAUAAAAAAGGGGCCUCAAUUAGAGUCAUGCAAGUUUUUGUACUGUAGGGAUUAUCGAUGUGGAAAUCUAUAUAUUAUUUAUGCAUGUAUUAACGUAUUGCUUGGUAGUUGAUUUAGCAUUGAGUUAUGCAGGUAAUUAAGUCCUCCAUAGUUAAUAUUCAAAUAUUAGUAGUUGGUUUAGCCUACGUUUACUCCUAUUAACAUAGAAUAGCCCUCGAAACCCCAAAAAAGGCCCAUAAAAACCCAUCUACCAAAUAGAUGGCUCUGUAGCCUUUCUCAACUAGUUUGAUGGCCUGCUUUUAGGGCCCAAAUAUGGAUGAACAUAGUUAUGCUAUUCAAGAAAAUUAUAGUAGUACUAUUGGGACUUUGCAUUAAAAGGGAAAAAUAAGUUGUCUAGUAAAGUGAGAAUCCUUCAAGUUUUUAAAAUUAGGUGGGAGGGACAAAAGUUUUUUGAAUAUUUAUUUUUAGUUUUUUGUUCCAACAACUUCUCCCAGUUGUCAAAAAACUUUGAUAGUUGUUUGAAAACUUCUAGCAGUUGUUCAACAACUAUCAAAGUUGUUCGAUAACUGCGGUAAGUUGUUCAACAACUAGGCGAAGUUAUUCGGCAACUGGGAGAAGUUCAACAACUAUGUGAAGUCGUUGAGACAACUAAUGUAGUUGUCGAACAACACCAGUUGUUCAAAUGACUUAAUCUUUUUAAAAGGGACAAGUUGUGGGACCCACUUUUUCCCUUUUCUUACUUCGAAACGUGGGAGGUCUAUUGAUUCAUUUUUCACACUUAAGUAUUUAAGUUGUAUAUAUCAUGAACUAGUUAGCUUAUAUUUGGGUUGUAAAUUGUAAUAUUAAGUGUAGAGAUAGUCCUAUAUACAUUUAGUACGUCAAAGAAAGCUACUCGAAAACAUUGUGCAAUUCAAUUUGUCGCAAGAAGCACUUAAUCAUCACGCAAAUACUUAUUGGUUCCGAAUAUUUAACCCUAAUCAAUGAUUUUAAUACUAAUGAAUUAAGAAUAUCAGAUCAUUCAAUCAUGAUAACAAAAAUAAUUUAUAAAAGAUAUUAUCUUGUAAUAGUGGGUAUAAGGAGAGGUAGAUGUAGGCUGAGGAGGUCUUGGUAAAGGUGAUUAAAUUAGGUACGUGUAGCUUUUCGAGGAUAUGAUCUAGAUAUAAAAAUGCGGAGAUCAAGGAUGUGGUUAGUGGGUGGAUGAGCGCUGUCUAAUUUCUCUAUUAAGUAGUCAUUUUUUUAUUACUUUCAUACUAUCUUAUUCUUCUAUAUUAGAAUAAUUUGUUUGCUUUUAGUUCAGUUAUCAUAUUAAUUGUUUGUCGGUUCUACCAUUUUCAGAUUUACUUUUUUAUUUGUCUUACAUGCCUAAUUUUGUUUUAUAUGUUUUACUUGAGUUGAGAGUUGAGAGUCAAUCGAGAACAACCUCUCUAUCUUCACAAGGCAGAAGUACAUGUCCAUACUACCUCUCCAAACUCCAUGUGUAAUAUUAUGAAUGUUAUUAUUGUAUAUAUCUUGAAUUGAUUGAUCAAAUGUAAAUACCCGAUGUUGCGGUAUACUUAUACCCAUGGGCAUAGGGAUGGUCUCAGAAAAAGGGUGAUUUGAUGCACAUCUUUUAUCAAAUUAUUAUAGUGUACAAAAGCUUAAUAUUAGCUAUAAUACAUCUAUAUUAAAUUUAGUACAUACUUAACACAACUAAAAAGAAAAUAUGCACACUCCUCGUCAAAUUUCUGACAACGACACUGCUACUUCCUCAACUAUGAACGUGUUAAGAUGACGCCAUAUAGCAUUUGUCAUCUGCAUGACGCCCAAACUCUUUUAUCACUGGACCUACCCAACCUGUCACCUCAUUUUCUGCUUUUAUAAUUGCAUAUCCUUCCAAAUUUCAUACACCAUCCAUUUCAUUUUAAUUAGAUUAAAAAUAACUAUUUUAAUUUAUUUGUGUAAUUUAUAAAAUUAUAAUAAAGAUUAUUACGUGAAGUAUUAAAUGAAGUGAAAGGUGUAUUCUACGAAUAUAUAAAGGCUAGUUUCAUUCAAUCCGUAUUCCGUACUAAGCUCGGAUCCAAACAACUCUAUAUAUAAAUAAUAAUAAUUAAAUUUUAAAAUAUAAUGUAUAUUAUAUUUUUUACUUUAUAAUUAAUAUAGUUUAAUGACCGAUAUGUUAAAUAUAUUUUAUUAAAAUUUUUAUAAUUAUUAAAGUUCUUAAUCACAUAAUUGGAUAAGUUUUUUAAAAAAUUAUUUGUAUGGAAGAAAGUAAUACAGGAGAAUUAGAAUAUAAAAUAACAUGAUACAACAACAACAAUAACAACAUACCCAGUGGAUUCCCACAUAGAGGGGUCUGGGGAGGGUAGAGUGUACGCAGAUCAUACCACUACCUAAGAUGAAGUAAAGAGUCUUUUUCCGACAGACCCUCGGCUUAGGACCGAUAGCAGUAUAAUAAACACAAAACAUAAAUGUAUAAAAACUAGUACAGUCUGCAAACUAAACUAACGUCACUAGCUAUAAGAUAAUAGUUAUACUACAGUCACAAGAUAAUACUAAAACUAUCUAUCCGAAAUCAUACACAUCACUCAACACCACAAACAAGAAACUUCGAGCACAAAUAAAGAAUGCUCCCCUAUUAUUACCGACACACUUUCAACCCCUAACCCUCUACUCUAAUCGGCAUUCUCCAUACCUUCCUCAUCACAUCCCUCCAAUAUUUGUUCAGUCUACCUCUACCCUACCUAAAAUCAUCCAUAGCCAGUGUCUCACACCUCCGCACUAGAGCAUCAGAGCCCCUCUUCAUCACAUGUUGUCACCAACGUAACCUUACUUCUCGUAUCUUGUCCUCCACCGAGGCCACUCCUACCUCUCCCAAAUAAUCUCAUUUCUUACCUUAUCUUUCCUAGUAUGGCCAUACAUCCAUCGUAAUAGUCUCAUCUCCGCUACCUUCAACUUAUGGAUGUGGGAGUUCUUAACUGGCCAAUACUCUCCAUACAAUAUAGUCGGCCUAACUACCAGUCUGUAGAACUUCCCUUUAAGCUUUGGGGGCAUCUUAUUAUCUUAUAAAACUCCCAAAGCGAGCCUUCAUUCAAACCAUCCAAUCCCAAUAUUAUGUGUGACAUCCACGUCAAUCUCACCAUUGCCUUAAAUCAUAGACCCCAGAUACUUGAAACUCUCCUUCUUCUGAAUGGCCUGAGAGUCUAGCUUCACAACCAUGUUAGCAUUCUAUGACACAUCACUAAACAUACACUUCAAGUACUCUGCCUUGGUCGUGCUUAACCGAAAUCCUUUAGACUCAAGGGUCUGUCUCAAAAUCUCCAACUUAUCAUUAACUCCUCCCCGAGUCUUGUUAAGAAGUACCACAUUAUCAGCAAAUAACAUACACCAAGGCACCUCAUCUUGAAUAUGUCUUGUCAAAACAUUCAUCACCAAGGCAAAUAAAAAAGGGCUAAGAGUCAAACCCUGAUACAACCCUACCAAAAUCAAAAAAUGCUUUGAAUCUUCACCUACCGUCCUCACCCGAGUCUUUGCGCCAUCAUACAUUUCCUAAAUCAACCAAGUGUAUGCAACAGGCACCUCUCUAGCCUCGAAACACCUCCAGAGAAUCUCCUUGGGAACUCUGUCAUAAGCCUUCUCAAGAUCAAUAAAUACCAUGUGAAAGUCCUUCUUCAUCUCCCAAAACUGUUCCACUAAUCUCCUCAUAAGGUGAACGGCCUCAGUAUUCGAGCGACCUAGCAUGAAAUCAAACUGAUUCUCAGCGGUAAUCACGCUCCUUCUCAGCCUUAACUCUACCACCCUUUCCCAAAUCUUCAUAGUAUGACUCAACAACUUAAUACCUCUAUAGUUGUUGCAACUUUGGAUGUCUCCCUUGUUCUUUUACAAUGGAAUAAUUGUACUCCACCUCCAUGCUUCAGGCAUCCUUCCCACCCUAAAAAUGAUGUUAAGAACCUUGUCAACCACUCCAAACUUGCCCUGCUAGUGCAUUCCAAAAAUCCACUGAAACCUCAUCUGGCCCCAUCGUCCUACAUCAACGCAUCGUGUGAAUAGCCCUCUUAACCUUCUUAACCUCGAUAGGCCUACAAUAACCAUAGUCGUGACACUCCUCAAAUUUCUCCAAGUCCCCAAACACGAAACCUUGGUCCCCCUUAUCAUUCAAAAGUUUAUGAAAAUAGGACUGCCACCUUUUUUUAAUGAGGGCAUCCUCAACCAACAUAGUACCAUCCUCAACCUUGAUGCACUUAUCCCUGCCUUUCUUCUUUAAAACCGCAUACAAGCUCUAAAAAGAUGUCAUUUUAGCCACUGUAACCGCUAACUUAGCCUCUCACCUAGCUAUCGCUUGUACUCUUCCUUAUUCAUCCGCCUCUCUUGAUCAUUCUUGCUCUCAACCAAUUUAGCAUAAGCCACCUUCUUAGACUCCACCUUUCUCAUAUAUAUUCAUUCCACCACUAUUCCCCUCGAUGUUUUCCAAAUUGGCCUCUCAAGAAACUAACACCUCUCUAGCGAUCACCAUAACUUAUAUCCAUCCAUAUCUCUCACCUUAGUGCCUACCAUUUAGUUUCCUGGACACACGUUAUACUAACCCUCCAUUUUCCAAGAAUCUUCAUCAGCUCUAUAGUCUUAGCUUGAAGCGUCUCUAUGUUCCAGGAUUCAACUUUCAACCUAUAAUCACCCUUAUCCAACUUAGCCGUACUAUCCCCCGCCCUCAACCCAAGACUAAAACCUAGACUCGACCCCAACCCCAACUUCAAUCAAUGACAUGACCCUAGUCCAUCAUAUAUCACCCCAACCACCACUCAAAAGGAUACAAUAGAAGAAAAUAAAGAAAAAAGCUGAAAAACAUGAUGAGCAAAAGAGUAUGACUAAAAACAGCUAAAUCAGCAAACAAAAACUGGUAAGCAGGAUUGAUACUCAAAAGCAACAACAAGUACUAUUCUACUCACUAGCAACAAACACCUACUAAGUUACAGAGAAACCGUAACCAAUAAUCCCAGAGGAAUACUUAAAAAAUCAAAUAAAAAAUCAGGAUAGAAAAGAGACAAGAAGCAUAUACCAAAUAAACUAGAGAAGACUGAAAUGAGUGCACCUAAUACAGGGAGAAGACACAGUGAAAGGAGUUUUCCUAAUCGUUUUGUCGAAUUCCAGCAAAUUGGUGCAGAAAUUGGUCGUCAGAAUUUGUUGCGAUCACCUUUACCCUACUGCUGGUACCGCAUCCCUGUACUUGGAGGCUAGAGAAUGUGCUAGUCGCGAAAAAAAUGAGCAAGACACCGGAAUCUUGAUGUCACCGCCUGAAGUAUAGAUCUGAACUUGAAGUACCUGAAAAGGGUUAUAAAGAAAAUAAAAGAGAAGAAAAGAAAAGUGACGAUCAAAUUGCCAAAAAUUGACGUCACUCACUAAAAACUGAUGCGUUUGUUGGGCCACAGAGAUAGGCCACUAAAAAAGUCGCUAUCAUUUUAAUGGUCGGCGUAAGAAGUGAGAGAGAAAAAGACGACGAUUAUGCUAGAAUCUGAUGGGGUCGGCGAAACUGAUAGGGUCGUCGGGACGUGUUUAUGGUGGCCGACACAAGUAAUUUACCGGCGGCAGAUUAGUAGUUCUUUGCUAUCGCCAGAAUCUUCAAGACACGAAGAGAUAGGUUAAUUUCUUCGUUGCCAUCGAUUGAAAAAUUGCAAGAUGCUAAACCCUCAGCAUAUAUGACAACUACUAAUGUCAUCAAUUUAACUUGAAACGCCCGUUCAAUAAAAUAACAUGUCAAUAUUUUAAUAAUUACAGAUCCAUUCCGAUUAAAAAUAGAAAAAUAUUGAUUUUAAUGAAUUUAUGGGUACAAAAUUUCUCAGUUAUAAAUAGAAAUAAAUUUAUUUUAAUAUUUAUUAUUUUAUUUUCAAAGACUUGACUUUACCUUAAUAUUAUGAAGUAAUUUCACUACUAAAAUAUUCAAGAAACUCUUUUCUAGUCUAGAAAUACUCCCUCCGUUUCACAAUAAGUGAAUUAUUGAAGCAAUUUUAGUGUUUCAAAAUAAGUGAAUGAUUCACAAUUCAAGGUAGAUGUUUGAAUUUUUUCCAAAUUUACCCUCCAUUAAAUGUGCACUAGGACUGAUGUAUCAUGUUUCAUUGCUUUUUGAAGAGGGUAAAAAUGAAAAAAUAUGAUAAAUUUAUGUCUUUGCUUUUUUUUUUCUUAACAUGUGUGCCGAAAUUCAACAAUUAACUUAUUUUGGAACGGAGGGAGUACUAUAUUUUUUUUAAGAAGUGAACAUCAGUGACUAUAAGGGUGUAGUUGAAAAUUAUUACUAGCUUUAAUUUUAUGUGAAAAUUUAUUUCUAAAAAAGUUUUUUGAGCCAAAAUAAUUAUUAAUUUAAAAUGAAGGAAAUUUUAAUAAAAAGACAACCUGUGGCAAGAAAAAAUCAGUUACAAAUACACAAGAGGAAAUGGUCUUAACAAAAAGAAUAAGGACAAAAAUAAAAAUAUUUAGCAAUAGAACAUCAUCAAUCCUUGUGAGGACUACCGAAAAUUGAGAUCCUCCCUUAUAUAUAAUAGUAAAUUGUAUUCUUUUUUCAUAUGGUUAACACUGUUUGCAAUAAAGAUUACAAUGACAGAAACAAAUUGCAAUCACAAUGCAUAUAAAAUAUGAAAAAAUAAGAAUUUUAUUGAUAAAUGAUAUGGAUAUAAUUCUGUUACUCCCUUGAUUCUUCUUUCUUUAUUUUUCUCCGUAAUUCGAGGAUCAUUAGUAGCGUACUUCUUGAAUGUAGAAAGAUUUAAAUUUGAUAUGAAUUUUUAUCGUAUUUCUCGAAUGUAAAAAGAUUUGAAUUUGAUAUGAUAUUUUUUGUAAUUCAAGGGUCGUUAGUAGCAUAUUUCUUGAAUGUAAGAAGAUUUAGAUUUGAUAUGGAUUUUCUUUGUAAUUCAAAGGCCGUUAAUAACAUAUUUCUUGAACAUAGAAAUGUUUGAAUUUGUUCUCCAUAAAAGAAGUGUUUAUGGAUCUUCUUGAUAUAUUUGAUUAUAAAAAAGAGAGUGAUAUUCAAUGAGUUUAUGAAAUUAUUGGGAGAUGAUUAAUCUCUUUAUUAAGGGUUUAGAGUAGAGUAGCCACCAAGUUAGGUUUGGCGUAAAGUAACCCCUAAUAACUCUAACAAAAUUGAAUUCUUAUUAUAGAGUUCACAAAAUUAUGAUGUCUAUAAACGCUUUGUAUUGUCAGACGUUAUGACUACAAAAUCCUUUGCUAAAAUGUCAAAAUACAAUUAUUUUUAUUCUUUGAGAUGAUGAAUGAAGUACGUGUUAAUUUAGUAGAGUCACUUAGCUCAAGUCAUUCAUGCGGCGAACCAUGAAAUCAGAAAACUACAUCAAGCUAGAAGAAGAGAAAAGCAAUAACAAAAAUACCAUAUUUAGCACAUUUUCAUAGCUUGAACUCGUGACCCCCUGAUCACAUGGAGGGAACUAUCCACAAUAAUUCAAAAAAAUACUUCUCAUAGAUAAUCACAAAAUCUCAAGCAAGACUAAAUCUUUUAAGAAUUUUACUACACACAAAGACAAAAACAAAGGGCAGUCCGGUGCACUAAGCUCCCGUUAUGUGCUGAGUCCAGGAAAAAAUUGGACCACAAAGGUCUAUUAUACACAGUCUUUCCACUGUGGACCCCUCUUUCCGUAGCUCGGACCUAUGAUCUUCUGGUCACACGACAAUAACUUUACCAGUUACGACAAGACUCCUUAUCUUACACACAAAAAUAACAUUUUUAAAAAUGAAAUCUUUAGCAAUUUUUUAAAAUUCUUUCUACCCAAAUUUCCAAGAUAAGCUAAAAUAUAACACUGAUAACAUAUGGUUAAAUAAACAAUAAGAAAAAAAUGCAAACUACCCAAAAAAAUUCAGGCAAAUAAAACUUGUAAUACAUCAAGAUUAAUUUUGAACAAUAGCUUAAAAAAAAUCUCACUUUCUCACAACUGAAUAAUUAAAUUCCAACUUUGCCUUAACAUUAUGUCUCCAUUGAUGAUGGAUACUGUAGCAUUAAGAGCGUUACUAAAUAAUGAAAUAUGACAUUCUUUUUGGGACGGACAAAAAGAAAAUGACGACAUAUAUAAUAGGGCAGAGGAAGUAUGUUAAUACUAAAAGGGUAGCUUCAUGUGGCGGUGGAUGUAUGUUAAUACUAAAAAGGCAGCUCGGUGUACUAAAACUUCUUGCUAUAAGGGACUGCAGAGAAGGGCUGGACUGCAAGAAUUUUAUUGUGCACAACAUUAUCUUGCAUUUCUGACAGAGGCUGUUUCUAUGACUUGAACUCGUGACUUCCCAAUCACAUGACAAUAAUUUUAUCAGUUACUCUAAAACUCCCCUUCAUAUUUUUUUUUUGAUUUGAUAAAAAUAUUAAAGAUACGUAAAAUAUAAAAGAUACACAUAUAAUUCUUUCUGCAAACCCACUUAUAUGGAGUAAUAAAAACUUAUAAGGUAUCAAAAAUGAUAUAUGCAUGGGAUUUCCCUUUUGGUUAAAGUUUUAACAGGUUAAUUUCGUGUAUAAUUGUAGACUUUUACUCAUUAAUGACAAAAUUAUUGAACUUUACCUCUUUAAUAAAGUAGUAGAUUUAAUGGCAUUGAAAAUCAUUAAUGAGUUUUUAUUAUGUGUUUAUAUAUAUUGAGUACAAGAAGUGAUAGACAUAUCUAAAACUAAAUCAAUCAAUUAGAAAAACAAUUUCUAUUCCAAUGGAGAACUUCCUCCAUGUUCACCUUUUGAUUUCAAUUAUUUUCUCAAUUUUGCUUGUAAUUUUAUGCAAUGAACAUUCUUUUUCAUCCCUUAACACCAGUUACAUUGUGGAAUAUGUCUAUUGAUCCAACGAAGCUUUCCGAUCCUCCGAUGCCAUCCUAUACACUCACCAUUUACAAUCUCUAUUUAUUUGAAAAGUCAAAAUUCAAGGACUAUGACUCGUUUCUUAGAAAUAGGUUCGCCGGUUGUCAAGCUAGGGCAAAUCAUUUGGCAUCGGUUCUUGAAAAUGGUGACGCGAUUAGUACGAAUGGAACUCUGGUAAGGCCACACGAUGAGCAUGAGAGUAAAGUGGCCAACGAAAAGGUUCUGGUAACAACAAGUAUACAUUUCAUAUGUCAGUAUGUUGUAUCUUUUACUCUUUUUUUUUUGGUUUCCCAUCCGGCACCUGGUGCCCGCAUUGGAGCUUCGACUAAUCUGGAUACACGUUGCAAGGCCCAUUAAGGUGGCAGCGCUCCCAACAGAAUUUUCUCCUAAGGGUGGAGCAGCCUCAUCCACUACACCACAACCCAUAUUGGUGCAUCUUUUACUCACUGAACAAGUUAAAAGUUACUUGCUAAUAGACACUGGUAGUGAUUUAGUUUGGUGGAAAUGUGGACCAUGUAAUGCAAAUGGAUGUUACAAACAGAUAAAUAAUCCUUUAUAUGUUUCAACUAAUUCAAAAACAUAUCGAAAGCUCGAUUGCCUUGUAGAAAGUAGAAACUGUGAAAUCACGAAUAAGGAAUAUGAUUAUAGUCCGUAUAGUAAUACGUGUAUGUAUAAUUACAAAUAUGUCAAUGGAUCAAGAACAAGAGGCUGGAUUGCACACGACGUGAUUACUUUUGUUUUAGGCCGAAAGCAGGUAAGCAUUGUUUUUCGAUGUGGCAAAGAUGAAACUCAUGGAAAGCCUUUUAGUGGUCAAUUUUCUAGAGAUGCUAUCCCCGGACGUAAUGGGUGGUGGAAAUCAUUUAGCAUCGCAAUUUAAAGCUGACAUAAUGUCCAUGUUCCUACCGGGAGCUAUCUCCACAAAAGGAUCAACACUUGGCUUCCACACAAUGCCAUUUAAGAAAACAACAUCAGCAACGCUAUUACAUGAUUUCAGAUUCCUUUCCGUUUACUUCGUCAUCCUUUAUAAAGUUUUCAUUAAUGAUAGGGAAGUCCCGAUGUUCCCAUCAUUGUCUAGGAAUUCUAGAAAUUAUGCCACAAGCGGUAGCUGCAUCGUGGACACAGGAACAUUUAUUUCCCGUUUUCCUCAUGAUUUUUAUAUUGUAUAUUACACAUUCAGAUAACAAUUAUGUGGUAUUCCUAUGGUUAAUGUUCCACCUGGAUCAGUUUAUGACACUUGCUAUAAAGUGGAUACAACUGGUCUGGAUCCACAUUUCCCCAUUGUGACCAACCAAAUGGCCUCUCCGACACUAACAACCCAAACUCCCCUUUGCCUCAGCCUGCCUGGGAGCACUUGGUCCAUUUUCUACCCAAAACAUACAUGGUCAUUGGGGCCACCCCCAGAACUGUGAUCUAUAUAGCACACUGAUUUAGCCCAAGAAUGGCCUAUUUGCGUCGUUUCAUUUGUUUGACCACCCAAAUAGCCCAACCGACCCCAACGACCCGCACUAUCCCACUUUUAAGCCUGCCUUGGUGCCUCUGGUCGAUUUUUAGACUAAAAAAGCUCAAGCCCUAAGCCAACCCCUAAAACCGUGAGUUAUAGCACGUCUAUUUUGCCAACAAAAUUGCAUAUUUUUGACAUUUUGCCUGUUUGACCACCCAAAUGGCCCCACCGACCCAAACGACCCACUUUUCCAUUCAUCAGUCUACUUGGAAGCUUUAAUCUAGUUUUGACCCAAAACACGCCUAAACCCCAGGUCCACCCAGAACUGUGAGCUAUAGCACACCAAUUAUCACUGAAAAUGACCCAUUCGCGUUGAUAUUCUAGUUUGACCACCCAAACAGCCCCGUUGACCCCUACGACCAAUACUUUUCCGCUCUUCAGCCUACCUGAGAGCCCCCAAUUGACUUUUAACCUAAAAUAUGCCUAGGACCACCCCAAAAUCAUGAGCUAUAGCUCACUAAUUUGGCCCAAAAAUGGCCCGUUUAUACCGUUUUGCUCAUUUGACCAACUGAACGAUCCCGCUGAACUCAAUGACCCACAAUGCCCCGCUCCUCGGCCUGCUUGGGAGCCCUCAAUCGAUUGUUGACCUAAAAAACAUUUGGUCUCUGGGCCAACCCCCAGAAUUGUGUGCUAUAACACACCGACUUGGCUUGAAAAUGGCCCAUUCGUAUCAUUUUGCCUGUUUAAUAACCCAAAUGGCCCUGCCGACCCCAACGGCCCACACUUCCCGCUUUUUAGCCAACCUGGGACCCGCGAUCAAUUUUUAGUCAAAAACAUGUGUGGGCCUUGGGCACACCCUCUGAACCUUAAGGUAUAGCACCCCAAUUUUGCCAAAAAAUAGCCCAUUCAUACCAUUUCAUCCGCUUGAUCACACAAACGGCCCUUCGCCACCCAACAACCCUCACUCUUCCACUUAUUAGCCUGCCUAGGAUCCUCUGGUUUAUUUUCAGCCUAAAACACGCCUACGCCCUGGGGCCACUUUCGGAAUCGUCAGCUAUAACACACCGAUUUGGCCUAAAAAUAGUUGGUUCAUGCCAUUUCACCCGUUUGACUACGCAAACGGACCCACUAACCCCAACGACCUAUACUCCCCCGCUCUUCAGCCUGCUUGGGAGCCUCCGAUCAAUUUUUAGACUAAAACACACCUGAGCCCCGGUCCCACCUCUAGAACCAUGAGUUAUAGCGUAAUUAUUUGGCCUGAAAAUAGGAUGUUCACACCGUAUCACCCGUUUGACCACCCAAAUAACCUCAAGGAAUUUUUGGACAAAACAUGGUAGGAGCUCGGGUGGGACUCUCAGAAUCGUGAGCUAUAUCACAUCGAUUUAUCCCAAAAAUGGCCCGUUCAUGUUGUUUCACCUAUUUGACCACCUAAACAGCCCCACCGACCCCAACAGCCCAUACUUCCUCACUUAUAAGCUUUCCUGGGAGCCCCUGAUCGAUUUUUAGCCCAAAUACGCCCAUUCUCCAAGCACACCCCAGAACUGUGAGCUAUAGCACAUCAAUUAGGCUCAAAAAAUGGCCCGUUGGCAUAGUUUUGGUUGUUUGAUCACCAAAACAACCCCGUCGACCCGAACAACCCUGACUCCCUCGCUCCUCAACCCACCGAGGUGCCCCUGAUUGAUAUUUGGCCCAAAAAAUAUGACCAAACACUGGCACACUCCUAGAAUUGUGAGGUACAGCAUACCAAUUUAGCCCAAAAAUGGUCCGUUUAUCCCGAUUCACCCUUUUGACCCCCCCAAAUAGCCCCAUCAACCCCAACCACCCACACUCUCCCGCUCCUCAGCCUGCCCAAAAGCCCUCGAUCAAUUUUUGACCCAAACCACGCUCGGUCCCUUCACUCACCUUUGAAAUCGUGGGCUAUAUCACAUUGAUUUUGCUCCGAAUUAGUCCGUUCGCGCCUUUUUGCCUGUUUGACCAACCAAAUAGCCCUACCGAUCACUGUCUACCCCAAUGACCCAUACACCCCUGUUCCACAGCAUGCCUGGGAGCCUCCAGUUAAUUUUCAGCCUAAAACAUGCCUGGGCGCUGGUCUCACCUACAAAACCGUAAGCUAUAGAACACCAAUUUGACAAGAAAAUGGUUUGUUCGUGCUGUUUCACUCGUUUUACCACUUAAAUGGCCCCGCCAACCCAAACAACCCACACUUUCUCGCUCCUCAGCCUGCCUAGGACCCCUGGUAAAUUUUUUGCCCAAACCAUGCCCGAGCCCUAGGCUCACUCCCAAAAUUAUGAUCUAUAACACAUCGGUUUGGCCUAAAAAUGCUUUAUUCGUGCCAUUCAGCCCGUUUGAUCACUCAAACAGCCCCGUUGAACCCAAUGACCCAUAUUUUCUCACUCCUCUUGCUGUCUGGGAGCCCUCGACCAAUUUUUAACCUAAAAUAGGCUCGAUCCCCAAGCCCACCCUCAAAACCGUGAGCUAUAGCUCACCUACAAUUUUGUUCGUUUGACUAACGAAACGGUACCGCUGACCUUAACGACCCACAAUUCCCCGCUCUUCGGCCUGCUUAGGAGCCCUCAAUCGAUUUUUGACCCAAAACACAUUUAGGCUCUGAGCCAAUCCCCAAAAUUGUGAGCUAUAACACACCUAUUUGGCCCGAAAAUAACCCAUUCAUAUCAUUUUCCUUGUUUAAUAACCCAAACGGCCCCACCGGCCCCAAUAGCCCAUACUCUCCACUUUUUAGCCAACCUAGGAGCCACGAUCAAUUUUCAGUCAAAAAAUGCACGUGGGCCUUGGGCACAGCCUCUGAACCAUGAGGUAUAGCACCCUAAUUUUGCCAAAAAAUAUCUUAUUUGCACCGUUUCAUCCGUUUGAUCACACAAACGGCCCAUCUCCACCAAACGGCCAACACUAUUCCUCUUAUUAGCUUGCCUAGGAUCCUCUGGUGUAUUUUCAGCCUAAAACGCAGCUACACCCUUGGCCCACACCCAAAAUCGUAAACUAUAACACAUCGAUUUGUCCUAAAAAUGGUUUGUUCAUGCCAUUUCACCCGUUUGACCACCCAAACGGCCCCACUGGCCCCAACGACCUAUACUCCCCUGCUCCUUGGCGUUCGUGGGAGCCUCCGUUCAAUUUUUAGACUAAAACACACCUCAGCCCCGGGCCCACCCCCAGAACAAUGAGUUAUAGCACAAUGAUUUGGCCUGAAAAUAGCACGUUCAUGCCGUAUCGCCCUUUUGACCACCCAAAUGGCCUCAGGGAAUUUUUAGACAAAACAUGGUUGGGACUCAGGUGGGACCCUCAGAACCGUGACCUAUCACAUCGAUUUGGCCUAAGAAUGGCCCAUUCAUGUUGUUCGCCUGUUUGACCACCUAAACAGCCCCACUGACCCCAAUAACCCACACUCUCUCAUUUAUCAGCCUGCCUGGGAGCCCCCGAUAGAUUUUUGACCCAAACACGCCCAGUCCCCGAGCACACCCUAGAACCGUGAGCUAUAGCACACCGAUUAGACCCAAAAAAUGACCUGUUGGCGCAGUUUUACUUGUUUGAUCAUCCAAAUGGCCCCGUCGACCCAAACAACCCUUACUCCCUUGCUCUUAAACCCACCUGGGUGCCCCUGAUUGAUAUUUGGCCUAAAACAUAUGACCAAACCCUGGGCCACUUUCGAAACUGUGAGGUAUAGCAUAAUAACUUAGCCAAAAAAUGGCCCGUUUAUGUCAAUUCACCCUUUUGACCCCCCAAGCAUCCCCGUCGACCCCAACCACCCAUACUCUCUCGCUCCUCAGCCUGCUCGAGAGCCACCAAUCGAUUUUUGACCCAAACCACGCUUUGUCCCUUGACUCACCUUCGAGAUCGUGGGCUAUAUCACAAAAAUUUUGCUCAAAUAUGGUCCGUUUGCACCCUUUUGCCUGUUUGACAAACCAAAUAGCACUACCGACCACCGCCGACCCCAACGACCUACACACCCCUGUUCCAUAACAUUCUUGGGAGCCUCCGAUCAAUUUUCAGCAUAAUACAUGCUUGGGCGCUAGGCUCAUCUCCGAAACCAUGAGCUAUAGCACACCAACUUGGCCAGAAAAUGGUUCAUUCGUGCCGUUUCACUUAUUUUACCACUCAAAUAUCCCCACCAACUCCAACGACCCAUAAUUCCCCACUCCUCAGCCUACCUAGGACCCUUGGUUAAUUUUUUCCCAAAACACGCCCGAGCCCUAGGCCCACUCCCAAAACUAUGAGCUAUAACACACCAAUUUGGCCUAAAAAUGUUUCAUUCGUGCCAUUCAGCCCGUUUGACCACUCAAACAGCCUCGUCAAACCCAAUGGCCCAUAUUUUCCUGCUCCUCUUCUUGUCUGGGAACCCCCGACCAAUUUUUGACCAAAAAUAGGCUCAAGCCCCAAGCCCAUCCUCAAUACCAUGAGCUAUAACUCACUGAUUUAGCCAGAAAGUUACCCAUUCGUGCCGUUUCUCCUGUUUGACCACCCAAACAAUGCUAUCGACCCCAAUAGCCCUCUCAUCCUGUCUGGGAGACGUCGCUUGAUUUUUGAUCCAAAAUACGUAUGUGCCAUAGGCCCACCCGAAGAAUCGUGAGCUAUAACACAUUGAUUUGGCUUGAAAAUAGUCUAUUCACAUCAUUUAGCCCAUUUGACCACCCAAACGGCCCCGCCGACAACAACAACCCACUCACCCCUGCUUUUUAGCCUUUUUGGGAGCCCUCAAUUGAUUUUUAGUCCAAAAUAUUUUUGAGUCCCGACUCCACCCCCAAAAUCGUGAGCAAUAACACACCGAUUUGGCCCAAAAAUGGUCUAUUUUCAUUGUUUCAUCUCCUUUGACCACCCAAAUGGUUCCAUCGACCCAAAAGGACCAUACUCCCUCGCUUUUCAUCCUGGCUAGGAGCCCCUAGUCCUUUUUCAGGCCAAAACACAUUGGGACCCUGGUCCUACCUCCAAAACCAUGAUUUAUAGCACAUCGAUGCACUAGGAUUUCGUUAUAUGUUCGGUCCCGCUCAUGUUUCUUCGGUCCACCUCUACCCCACCUAAAACCAUCCAUAACCAGUAUUUCACAUAGCCGGCCGGACGACCACUCUGUAGAACUUAUCUUUAGUAUUCGAGUGCCUCUUCUAAUCACAUAGAACUCUCGAAGCGAGACUUCAUUUCAACCACCCUGCCCCAAUAUGAUGCGUUACAUCCUCGUUAAUCUCAGCAUUGCCCGGAAUGAACCUGACUCUGAUACCAUAUUGAAGUGAGUGACCAUCUCAUCUAAGAGUUUAACUAUUAGAGAGAGUACACUUUUACUAUUUAAUUAUAUUCUCAACAGUUACUUAAUAUGCUAUUUUUGCAUUGAUCAAAUGAACUUUACGUGGCAUUCUAAACUAAAGGAAGACACAAAAUUUUUCUUUCAAACAGUUCAAGAAAGAAUCUUUUGUCCUUUUGAAAAAGAGAAAUAAAGUCACAUUUGUUGGCUUGUUUUGUCCCUACAGUUGAACUAAGAGAACUUUGAGUUGAGGUUUUUUCUAUUAUUAAGGAUGUCCAAUUUUGGAAAAGUACUACUCCUUUCGUUUAAAAAGGAAUGGUAGACCAAACAACAUAUUAAUUUUAUAUAUUAUAUUAACUCCUAACUAGCUACCAAACCUGGAAUUACUUAUGUAGGAUUCCUACAUAACUCGUUGCUAAGCUAGCUACCAAAUGACCUCUUAAUACCUUCUUUCUUUGUUCAUUGAGGAGACAAAGACCAAUGUAAGCAUAAUUUAAUUUAUGUGUAUAAUAUGUUCAGAACCAAGGUGCAGAAUAAAUACUUUACAUAAAUACAAAACUUCCUAAAUGAGUUGAACCAACUGAUAUAAACGGUUUGAUUCACUCAGCUCCUGAUUCAUCAAUUGAUGACCACAGUAUUUUUUCAUGAGAUCUGGCAGGUAGUUUUUUUUUAUAACCUGAUUUUUUAUAACAAAAAAAAAAGUACCACUAAUGACUCUGCAACAACAAAAUCUUUUGAAGAAUCCAAUGAAAGUUGAGAGACUCUCUUCUCAGCUAUAGCUUUUGGUGAAUCUCUUGUUGAAAUUGAUUAAAAUUAUUUACUAUCAUUUCGACCGGUUUUGUCAUUUUUCUCAUUUUUAGUUCUUUUUAUAAAAUUCAUUAUUGGAUCUUUCNNNNNNNNNNNNNNNNNNNNNNNNNNNNNNNNNNNNNNNNNNNNNNNNNNNNNNNNNNNNNNNNNNNNNNNNNNNNNNNNNNNNNNNNNNNNNNNNNNNNNNNNNNNNNNNNNNNNNNNNNNNNNNNNNNNNNNNNNNNNNNNNNNNNNNNNNNNNNNNNNNNNNNNNNNNNNNNNNNNNNNNNNNNNNNNNNNNNNNNNNNNNNNNNNNNNNNNNNNNNNNNNNNNNNNNNNNNNNNNNNNNNNNNNNNNNNNNNNNNNNNNNNNNNNNNNNNNNNNNNNNNNNNNNNNNNNNNNNNNNNNNNNNNNNNNNNNNNNNNNNNNNNNNNNGGGUUUAAAAUCCUUAAGUUUUUUCAAGGUGUUUGUGCUUUUAUCAUGUAUUGUUACUUGAAAAAUUAUGUUAUUUUGGCGUUGAACUAAUGAACUCUACGUGGACUAAUAAACUGAAGAAUGACACAAAAGUUUUGUUUCAAAUAGUUCAAGAAAGAAUGUUUUGUCUUUUUGAAACAAGGAAAUAGAGCCACAUUUCUUCCACUGAUUUGUCCACUCAUAGUGCUCUUGGUUUUCCCGCCUUCCACAAAAAACCUUGCAAUAGAGAUUUCCAAUUCAUCCUAGACAAUCUCAACACUAAGUUGGCUGGAUGGAAAACUAAAUUCCUCAAUAUAGCUGGCAGAAUCACCCUUACCAAGUCCUCCCUUGCUAGUAUUUCUGCUCAUGUCAUGUAAUUCAUUUUGAUCCCCACAAAAAUCCACUAAUUGAUUGACAGAACCCAAAAGUACUUUUUCUGGGGCACCACCCCUGAUAAUAAGAAAAUGUAUCUAAUCAAUUGGGAAACCUUGACUAAUGCUAAAGCUAAUUGGGGCCUGGGCUUCCAGAAAGCUUCCAUUAGGAACACCACUAUGUUAUCCAGUCUAGCUUGGAGACUUUAAAAGCAUCCCAACAGUAUCUUGGCAAAAAUUCUGUAAAAUAAAGUAGCCCCCAUGGCAUAUUCAUCAAAGCCAACAACUUUAGAACUUGGAAAAGUUUCUUUGUGGGUUGGGAAAUUUGUAAAACUGCCUCCUCUUUGAAUAUCCAUAAUGAUGACAAGAUCAACUUCUGGAAGGACAGAUGGAUGCCUCACUGUGAACUCCUUCUUUCUGUCAUCCAAGAUCUUCUUCCUUAUUAUUCCCAAGACAUUAAACACUCUGAGGUCUAGAGAAAUGGCUUCUGUAACCUCAAGGAUCUUCCGAUUGAAAUCCCUAAGGAUGUCAUCCAAACUUUAACCAACUUUAUUUUCCCAAAUCCCAGAGCCCAUACUGAUGAGCUCAUUUGGAAUCUCACUGGUAAUUGUCUGUUCUCCAGCAGAAGUGCUUAUAAUCAUAUUGCCAAAACCUCUGAGAUCAAUUACUCCUCUAAUUUCAACUGGAUAUAGAAGGCUAAAUCCCUUAAAAAUUUAAAACAUUUAUUUGUUUAAGCCAGCAUAAUAGUUUCCCCAAUAACCUUAACCUCUCCAAGAGAGGAGUGAGACAAAAUACUAGUUAUGCUAUCUGCAAUCAUCACCAGGAAGAAAAAUCCCACAUUUACUUUAAGUGUCCUAUCCUCAACGAUUUGGGAGUGCAAACUAUCCACAAGAUGACCCAGUCCAAAAACCUCCUAUUUCCAGUCUCCUACCCUCUUACUAGCACAAUAUCUGGAGAUCUCUUCAACACUCCCAAUUCAACAGACUAAUCCACUGGCAUGACAUCAUUCCUUUUAACCUCUAGACACUCUGGGACACCAGGAACUCUAAUACCUUCAAGAAAAAAAGGGACCAUCCCAAUUUUAACCAUGCUUACUCCCAAACUAUUUAGUAUAAACAUCUUACUCAAAAGAAUACCCCAAUCAAGCAAAACCAAAUCAUCAACAUUAAGUGGAAUCCUCCCACCUGCCAUACCUUCAAGCUCAAUACUGAUAAUUCUUGCCUUAGAAACCUCGGGAAGGGUGGAAUAGGAGGGGUAGUCAGAUCCAGUAAUGGAGGCUGAGUGUUAGGCUUUAACAUAAACUUUCACCGGACUACCAAAAACAUGGUAGAGCAAAAUAAUCUUCUCCCCACUAAAAUUAACUUUGAUUCCUUGGAAGUGAUAUCUAUGUUAAAAAACGGGAACCUCCACUAUGAUACUUUAAUUUUGGAAUGCAGGUCAAAAUUAAAAAGAAUAAGGAAUUCGAAAGUCAAGUACUGUUAUAGAGAACAAAAUGGAGUGGCGGAUGCUCUAGAAAAAUACAGAGCAAGGGCAAGCGGGUUUUAGGAGACUACCCUUUUUGAAGUUCCACCGAUAUGUGCAAAAGAUGCAGUUUUAGCAGACAUCUCAAAAACUUUUUGAGAGAACAAUUAGGAUGAUUUUAAUUGGCCAGGCCAGAACUAUUCCUUUUUGAACCCUGACUAAUCGUCAAAAAUUGAAACUUAAACUGUAUUCUCUUUUAUAUUAAUGCAUGUCCUUUCUACCAAAAAAUAAUAACAUUAUUUCGCAUAUUGAAUCACCAAAAAGAAGAGAUAUUUAUACCAAUUUAAAUUGAUGGACCUUGAACAUUCACAAAGAAAGAUAAGUUGAAAAUGUUAUAUCAUUCUUGCAUAUCGAAAGAAUGUUAUCAAAUCAAGAAUAAUUUUUUUAAAUGAAAAAUUAAAAAAUGCAGUAAAUAAAUUCACGAAUAGCACGAAUGAUAGAGAAGUAUAUGUAAGAAAGGCUAAGUAAUAGAAUUUCAUUUAUAUUCAGAUUUCAUUUAAAUACAAAUUCAAAUAUCACAUAUGUUUAUUAAAAUAAGAUUAAUUUAUUAUUCUUCCUUAUCCUUAUCCUUACAUUUUUCAAAUACAAUAUAUAUUUAAAAUUAAUAUAGAUUUGAGUUGAGAUAAGUAUUGAAAUCAACGAGACAAUACUAAUACUAAUACUAAUACUAAUACUAAUACUAAUACUAAUAGUAAUACUAAUAUUAAUACUAAUAAAAAUAAUAACAUUUUAACUAUUUUUAUUUUACCACUAUUAGAUUGUACUCCUAUUACUAUUACUAUUACUAUUAUUAUUUGUUCAUUGUUAUUUGAGAUAAAUAUUAAGAUAAAUCGUGUAGCAAAAAAAAAAAAUUGUGUGCCAUGAUUAUUAAUUUAGUACAUCUAAAUUAUAAGUUUAUCUUUGAAAGUAUGUUUUAUCUCCAAUUUAAAUUCAAAAAAAUUUGAUAGAAUAUCCAAUAUCUUAGAUGAGCGGUUAAAACCUUCAAUACAGGUCAGGCUCGUUGGGAUGGCCCGGCCCAGCCUGUAAUUUGAUAGGGUUGGGCUAUAAUUUUUAUAGCCCAUUUAAGAAUAGGGCUUUUUAGCCCUUCAUGAAUAAGUCUAUUGACCCGUCGGCUUGAGCCAUAUGGGUUUGCGUGACCCGUGGGUCAAAUAAAAAAUAAAAAAAUAAAAUAUAGUACUAAUAAUAAAAAAAUGAGUCCAAACUCAAAGUUUAUAUGAACCAUCAUAUAUAGAUUUUAAUAUUAAUUAUAUUUAAAUAAUAUAUAAAUAAUUUACAUAUAAAAUAUAAGUUUUUUAAGAAAUCAAAUAUGUUUGAUGAAGAUGACGUGGCGAUGUUGAAUACACCAUAAAUGCCAUGAGAGUUUUCUUUAAAGUGUUUAUUUUACUUUUAAUGGACUAAACAUUGACAUUUCUUUGUGUUUUAUUUUGAUCAAUUAAAACAAAAUUAGGUUAAUAUUGUUAUUUAGCGAGUUAUAUUAUUACUCAUUAAUUAUUUUAUUUAUUUUUCAAUAUCUNNNNNNNNNNNNNNNNNNNNNNNNAUCUUUUUGUAAAUUUGAGACUUGAUUAAUGAGUAGUAACUUCAAGCAAUAUUAUAUUGUAAAUAUUUAUGCAAUUAAUAUUUUAAAAUUUAAAUUAAGAUUAUAAAAAUAAUAUAUUUUAAAAAAUGGGCUGGCCCGUGGAGGCCCACAACCCAUAGUGUGACGGGUUGGGCUUGCUAUUUUCUAGUCUGUCAAGUUGAUGGGUUAGCCUGACCAAGCCCGUCAAACUCUAAAGCCUGUGUGAGCUAGCUCGGAUGAGCUGGUCUGAUCCAUAUUAACAACUUUAGGAGCAGUUAUAUAACAAUAAGAAUCUAAUUAGAACUAUUUAGUAUUAUAAUUAUCUACUUAUAAUAUGUAAUUUUAUAUUUUUUUAAUAUUAUUUUAAAUUUAAAGUCAACAAUUUAUUUGUAACACCCCAAGAUCCCAUCCCGAGACGUCACACGGUGCUUAAGGCCACACGCGGCCUCAAGCUAACCCUCUAAAACUGUCAUCACUUCUAGAACUCACUUUGACAAUAGUCGUGCUAAUAUAAGAGAGAAUGACAUAUCAUAAACAUACUGGAAUAAGAUAAGAAACUAGUCUGUACAAUCCAAAAUAUUGAAAUUCUGUACAUACCGAUCCUUUAGUCUGACAAAGCCUCUAUACAUCAAAAUCAAGGAGACAUUGGGACAAACCCCCAACUGAAUCAAGGAGAUAUUGGGACAAACCCCCAACUGACUCAAACAGUACUGAAAGCCAUAACAACAAAAUUGUAUCACAAAAUUAUAAACACGAUCCUCGAACCAUGAGGACUCACCCCUGAGCAGAUGAAAAGAGGCACCCAAAAAUCGCUAACGUGGCUGAGUACCUAAACCUAUAUUAUAAGAAAAUAUAGCCCUUAUAAAAAUAUAUGGGUCAGCACUUUGGAAUGUACUGAGUAUGUGGGGGGCAUGCAACAAUGUAAAUAUCGUCAUCAAUUUCAUGAAAUUAUGCAUAUGUACAAUGAUGGCUCACUUGGAUUGAGUUAGAUUGAAACAUAUUUUUUAUAAUCUCAUCGUAAAUAAAUCAUAUGAUAAAAACCUUAUAAAUCAUCAUAAANNNNNNNNNNNNNNNNNNNNNNNNNNNNNNNNNNNNNNNNNNNNNNNNNNNNNNNNNNNNNNNNNNNNNNNNNNNNNNNNNNNNNNNNNNNNNNNNNNNNNNNNNNNNNNNNNNNNNNNNNNNNNNNNNNNNNNNNNNNNNNNNNNNNNNNNNNNNNNNNNNNNNNNNNNNNNNNNNNNNNNNNNNNNNNNNNNNNNNNNNNNNNNNNNNNNNNNNNNNNNNNNNNNNNNNNNNNNNNNNNNNNNNNNNNNNNNNNNNNNNNNNNNNNNNNNNNNNNNNNNNNNNNNNNNNNNNNNNNNNNNNNNNNNNNNNNNNNNNNNNCAAAUCAAAUCUCUUUCUCAUUUAUCAAAUCAUAAUUAUUUUGAGGAUUCCUAACUCGACUCAAAUCAAAUCAAUCUUUCUCAAUAGCAAAAUGCAUCAAUUCAUUAAAUCAUGGCAACAUCAAUAACUUUGAGGAAAUAUCAAGACUCAUUGUAACAACUCAAUUCUCAUGAAUCAAUAUACUCAAUAAUCCAAUUUUUCAUAAGAAAUAUUAAAGCUUGACACAUAUCUUUAAAGCACUUGAAAUACCAACUCAUGGUAGAAACUUUAAAUUCACAAUAUUAAAUAUCAAGUCAUAAGUUGGAAAUUGUAAAAUAAUCAUGUAUAACAAAGCCUGAACGAUUUAUAUUCUCCUAAUCUCAUGAUGAAGUAAUUUGGAUAUAAACCCACUUGCAAAAUCAUAUAAAUUCAUAAUAAAAAUCAAAGCUUUGAGCACAAGAGCGAAAGAAUUUCUCUUGUUCAAAACCCCACGUACCUCAAUCUUUGAAAUUGGUUGAACUCUAGUGCUUGAUACUUUACUCACACUUGUAAUAAAAAAAAUUCUUGAAGCCCACUCUAUGAGAAACUUGAUUCUUGAAGGAAUCUUGAAGAUUUAUGGAUGAUUUUUGGAAGAUUAAUUCCCUAAAAUAAAACCCUAGAUAUAUUUCUAAAGAGAAUUGGAAGAGAGAAAUGAAGAAAUUAGGUUUUGGAUGAGGAUUCUCAUAUAUAUAUAUAGACGCCUCCAAAAAUGGGAAAUGACUAAAAUACCCUUGCAAAAAUCGUCCAUCAAUUGCUGAAAAAAAUAGUUAAUGACAUCUGUGAUAAGCUGUCAGGCCCAUGAUAGGCCAUCACGAAUUGUCGUCACAAAAAGGGUGGAUUUUGUGACUUUCUGCCUUAAGGUGAUGACAUUUUGUGAUGGGCCGUCAGGCUUGUGACAAGUCAUCACAAAAGGUCGUCACAGAUUUUCCAGGCUGUCACGUUGGAGUAAAAUAAGCAUAACUCUUUUGCUCCAAUAUCGGAUUUUAAUGAAAUGGGUACCGUUGGAAAGAUAAUUCAAUUAUAUAUCUUUUGGUAGGUGAUGAGAUAAAUGAUUCAUAGUACAACGGGAGAUAUGCUCAUUUAAAGUUAACUAUGCCAAAAUCCUUCUCAAGAAUUCAAUGGGUAAAGAAUGUUUUGAUUCGCCCAAGCGUUAGGACAUCUUUAAAGACUUAAUACACAUCUCCCUUGACCAGGAAACAACCAAAACACUAUAAUGUAUUUCUCAUGGGCUUAAGUCAUGGCGGCACUAUUGGUUAGAAUCUCGGGGUAUUACAAUACCUCCCCCUUGGAAAUAUUCAUCCUCAAAUAUUGCCAGAUAGGCCAAGAACAAGAUAAAAAUGAGGACGUAUAGUUGGAACGACUUACUCGAAAGACUUAAUUCACUCUAUACCUUCGAAUACUAUAGAAAAUGCACAUAUUCGUGAUGAAAGCAGACACACUGCUGAAUCUUUAAUAAGAAGGGGGUGGAAUUAAGAAAGAAUGAUACCUUCUACUCGCUCAGAACUCACAGAUAAGAGGUGAGGGUACUUGGAUCGCAUAUCAUCUUUGUCUUCCUAAGUAGCACUAUCAACAGAUUGAUUUCGCCGAAGCACUUUAACCAAAGCAACUUCUUUGUUCCUUAGCCUAAGGAUCUGAAAAUCCAAAAUCUUAACUGGAAUCUCCUUGAAUGAAAGACUAUCCUGAAUAUCUAAGCUUUCAGAAGAAUCAACCAUGACAGAAUCACCAAUACACUUCUUAAGCAUAGAAACAUAAAAUACCGGAUGAACGCUAGACAACUCUGUGGGUAAAUCCACCUCAUAAGCUACUUUGCCAACAUGGCUCCGGACCUUGUAUGGACCAACAUAACGGGGACUAAGCUUUCCCUUCUUCCCAAAUCUCUUUACCCUUUUCAUGGGUGAAACCUUCAAGGACACCAAAUCAUUAACAUUAAACUCAAGAUCUUUUCUUCUCACAUCCGCAUACGACUUCUGAUGACUUUGAGCGGUUUUCAAUCUUUCUCAAAUCAACUUAACUUUUUCCGUAGACUCGAACACAUCAUCCAGCCCAAUCAUAGCUACUUCUCCUACUUUAAAUCAACCUAUGGGCGAUCUACAUUUUCUCCCAUACAACUAUUAUUAUACGCAAAUUCGAUCAAUGGAAAGUGCUCAUCCCAACUACCUUUGAAAUCAAGUGCACAUGCCCUCAACAUGUCCUCUAAAGUCUGAAUAGUUCUCUCAGCCGGACCAUCGGUCUGCGGAUGGAAAGCAGAACUUAGACAAACUUGGGUAUCGAGACCCUUCUAAAAAGCCCUCCAAAAUUGAGAAGUAAAAUGAGUACCCCUAUCAGAGAUGAUAGCUAAAGGAACUCCAUGAAAUCUUACUAACUCACGGAUAUACAAUCUAGAAUAAUCCUCAGCUAUAUAAGACAAAUGCACUGGCAAGAAAUGAGCUGAUUUAGUCAAUCGGUCUACGACAAUCCAAAUCAAAUCAUGAUGAUGAUAAGAAGGAGGCAAACUAAUUACAAAAUCCAUAUUCACUUCUUUCCAAUUCCAAUUAGGAAUUACAAACUCAUUAAUUACACCACCGAGCCUCUGGUGCUCUACCUUAACUUGUUGACAAGUAGAAUACUUUGUCACAAAUCCUGCUAUGUCUUUCUUCAUACCGUUCCACCAAUAUAUUUCCCGCAAAUUGCGGUACAUCUUGGUAGCACCAGGAUAAUAGAAUAUCGCACACCAUGCAAUUUGUUGACACCUAAUUUUUUCCCUCCACAACUAAAUUUAAUCCUGAGUUUCUUCGAUUCUUAAUAAAAUCGGAAUAUUUAUUUCAUUCGAAUAAAAAAUUUUCAAAAAUAUAUUUGUACGUAAUUUUGUCAUCUUAAGUAGAAAUUAUAUAUUAUCGUAUUCAAAUAUACGAUAUUAUAUGAGUUUAUUACUUAGAUAUUUACUCUAUGAAAUAUCAGAUUUCAAUUAAGGAUCAUUUCGAAAAAUAAUAAUUAAAAUCAUGAUCUAAAUAUAAUUUAUUCUCGAAAAUAUUUUGUUUGGAUAAAUAUGCAUUUUAUUUUAUUAAUUCAAGAAGCUCAGGAUUAAACAAGGUGUUAAUUCGUAUCAAAUUUUUAUUUAAUUUAGUCAAUUUAUUAAAUUAGAACUUAAUUGAAAUUAAUUUGACCAUAAUUGCAAUGUAAUUGGUUAAUUUAAUUUGAAUUAGGCUAAAAUUUAAAAAUGAUUGUCUAAAUUUUCAUCCAUUGGCUGUUUCAUAAAUAGUCUAAAUCUCUACAUUACUAAAAUCCUAAUUCUACCCAACAAUAUUCAGAUCCCUCCUGCCCAGUUCCUUUUCAUAUUAACAGGCCCAAAAUCCCUGACCUGGCCGACCAUCAUCAAAUCCCCCUUUCUACCUUAAUCAGCAAGAACUAGUCCCCAAUGCAAAAAACAACCAAAAAUAGAGUACAACUACAGGAACUUGAACAACAAUGACAAGCUCGAUUCAGUGAAUCCACCAUUGAACCAACUCGAAACCAAUCCUAAACUAUUCUUUUUCCCUCUGUCACGCGUCUCACGCGGCAGUAGGAUAAGAAAAACCCUCGAACCUUCUAGAAAAUGGGCUAGGUGUCAUCUCCAACAGUCCAAUCCCGCAAAUUUUGGGAUAACUCGUACGAACUCAUACAAUAUUUGGCUGAUUUCCAUAGGUUUUGGGGAAGAAUUCAUUUUCCCUAAAUCUCAUUGGUCCACCAAUUUCAAUAUUGGUACAAUUGAUUGAUGAAACCCUAAGCGGUGAGAGGAUUUUCAAAUUUCAAAAUUCAAAAAAUCCUUCUUUUAAAUCCCUAAAAGUAAUUCAGGGGAUAUAAAAAGACCCCUGGGGUCACUAUUUCGGGGAUUAUUGGUUUCUUCUCUCCUGUUCUUUCCCUUAGGAGUUGGAAAUUUUAGAAGCCUCUGUUUGUUUUGUUUAGAGAAAUUUUGGGUUCAAAAAAAGGGGGAAAUCCUUAGGUUGGAAAAUUUUAGGUCACGGUUGAGGGUUACUUUCCCUUCUGAGGUGGAAAAAUUAAGGGAGAAAGCUAGGUUGGAAUAUGUUUUUGAGAAAAAUUUCUAAAUCGAAAAAACUGAGAUAGAGGGAAGAAAGAAAAAGAAAAGAUUUCUGAAGAAAGAUUAAAUCUUUGAAGUUUUCCGGUGGUCAUGAUCCCCGUAUCAGUUCGUCGUCUUGUUUUGCUGCUCCGAAAAAGGUAACCUCCUAUUUUCAUUUAGUUUUCAUUAUAUUUCUUCUUCCUCUCGUCAUUCUAUAGUCAUAACUGUCAUUCUGAAGAUUUUGGAAGCUGGGUUGUCUGCUGUAGAGGUCUUCAUGACCAUAGGUUUCAAUUUUAGUAAAAGGCAAUGUUUCUUUGCAGUUCUACGUUGGGAUGAAUUCCUAUUAUGAUUGUAUGACAUGUGGUUUUCAUCAUCUUUAGAUCUUGAUUUCAUGAUUGGUCAUCUACUCUCAUUAUUACUGCUUAAUUUAUGUCCUAAUGUAUCAUCUUGUGGACUGUCUGUGAUUUGAAGCAGUUAAAGAUCAUAUUUUGAUUCUUGCUUAACAAUUUUCAUCCUCUUGUUGCCUUGAUUCGUAGUUGUAGUUUUAUAAUCUUACGUGUUGAGUGUAGCUCGUUAGGAGGCUAUGAAAGCCCCAAGUUUCAUAUGAUAAACUGUGAGCUUUCAAAAAUUGUUGUUGUUUCUGCAUUUAGGACAGAUUGAUUUUUAGAGUUUUUGAUUUCGUUAUAAUUCAUCUGGGAGCAUUUGCCUUUGUUCAUACAAUGUUUUUGAUGAAAAUUUUCUUUGAAUUCGACUUUCGUGAAUGCCAUAUUGUUUAAAUGAUGAGCUUCUAGCCUAAGGAUUAUUGCUAAAAUCCUGUUCUAAGAAAAUGAAGGGUUACUAAGUAACUUUAUUCCUGUAAACGAUUGAGUAAAAGUGUUGUGUUUCUUUUCAGUUAAAAAGGAUGAUAGGGUCAAAGGGUUUUGCAUUCUCUUUAGGAGUUGCUAUUAUGGGCCUCCUUUGUGACCUUUAUUUAUAUAGGUUAAAUAAAAAGAAGUCUAUUCUAUUUAUAGUAUAUUUUCUCAAUUCACCAGCUUUGAUCUGAGUUUAACACAUACACUUGUAGUUAUUAGUUGAAAAUUGUUUCAAAAAAAAAAAUUAGCUUUUCUUGCGUCGUUACUAACUCGUAUGAGCUUGUAUAUCUCCUUUAUGAAACUUUUAGGAUCCUGUUCAUUUGUCUAUUAAAUACAUCUCUUCCCUCAUCAUCUUAUUGAUGUUGGGCAAAGAAAAUGUUUUUAGUCGCAUUGCUUCUCCCCUAUUUCCUAUUUACUUCAGUACCUAAGGUUAAGAGUUUUGGAUCCGUUUGAAUAUCGAAUAGUUUCCAUGUUUUAUUUAAAGCCAUCCUUUAUUUUUCAUAUUAUCAUUUGCUAAAAAAAUUUUGAUAAGAUAAAAGUUGUUUGCGUGUAGUAUGUGUGGUGACAUGCCUAAUAAUGUGCUUACUCUAUGGGAACAUGUUGUUAUUUCUUCUCUAAAAGAUAGGUCUAGUAAAUUUGGGAGAAAUUCUAUUUUAGUUGCUUCCUGAUUCUUCCCAACUCUUUGUUGUUAUCUUGAGUUUUAGUAAUAGCCAUCUAUACCUAAAAGGGCUAGAGAACAUUAAUCACCAAAAUAAAAAUAUAUAUAUAUAUAAUAAUAAUAAUGAUUAACUCCUGCGCACAUCAAAUUGGUUUGACUGCUAUUUUCCAUCACAAUGCACGUGUGAAGUUUAUUCAUUUCUCUUGAAAUUCUAUAUUUUGAACCAUAGUGGGUUCCUUUUCAUUGAUUGAUCCAUCAUACUACUUAUUUGUGUGGCGUUUGGUAUUUUGGAUGCGUUUUGAUUUCCUUUAUCUUUUGCCUUGCAUGUGAAUUCGUUUUGGAGUCCGAAUGGAUUCUUUCCCAUUGCAUCUCUUAAUGGGCCAUUGAGGCCCUCCAUGACUAUCAAAUGAAGCCCCAAAAGAAAGCCUAAAAUAAAUUUCAUGGUGUACGAAUACGAGAAGUCGAAAGAAGAGAGAAGAUGGAUUGAAGCCCCAUCUUUAAAGUGGCGAAGAGACUCAAAAGUCUCAUUUAUUAGUUUAUUUAUUUACUUAUCAAUUUUAUUCAUUUUAUUUAUUUAUUUAUUUAUUUAUUUAUUCAUUUGGGCCACGAAGCCAAAGUUGUACUUAAUAUAGGUGGAGCGAUACUCGAGCCAACUACUCGAAAACAAGACUAGGACAGGUGAAAUGGGUCGAAAGCCCAAUUAGACUAGGACAGGUCUUAUUGAUUUGGGCCAAGUGGCCUAAAUCCCUUACUUUCUCCCCUUCCCCUUUUUCUUUAUGUUUCUUUACCUUAUCUGUUUUGGUGAACCUUGUUAAAUCCUUUGUCAAGUCGCUAAAAAGCUGGUUCUUCAUAAACACCGAAAUCUUUUUCUAAAAUUGCCUUCUUUUCAAAACUAAACCUUUUUCAAAAGUUAGUCAAUGACGAUUUCCAAAUAGUACGGAUAACCGCAAGUUAGCGGACGUUUUAGGUGCCUAACACCUUCCUAAAAUGUUAACAAGAACCGCUUACUCAGAAUCUCUUAACUUAAAUGAUUUUCCUAUUUUGGUUCAUUUGAAGUAACUCUAUAAAGGUUACUUAAUUCCUUUUCAAAAUUAAGUGGCGACUCUCUUUCAAAAGUCAAAAUUUCUGCAAAACAGAAAUGGCGACUCUGCUGGGGACUUUUCAAACUAGGUUCUAACCAAAUGUUCGAUUUCGUCUUUUGAUUAACUGUUUAUGUGUUUAUAUUAUUCGAUUCUAUUAAUAUUAACUAUCGUAUCUCAUGGCAUACCCCUGCAUUAUUUAAACUGUUUUGGGGUUUUGUAGAUGUCUAACUUUUUAUGAGGUCCUGUCUAACUUUUUAUAAGGGACUCUAUUCUGAAUAUAACAUGCAGAUAAGACAACUUCCCCGUCAUAUAGUCAGGUAGACCUGAGCUUAAAAGCAUAAAAUUCAUCAUUUUCUUAAGUGUUCUAUUCUUUCGUUCUAUUACACCAUUUUGUUGGGGUGUAUAGGGAGCACAAAACUCAUGGAUAAUGCCUUUUUUUCUCACAAAAAUCUUCUAGAGUUUUAGUACUAUAGAGGUAGACCAAUGAAAUAUUGGAGGGAGGUGAUUAGGCAUGAUAUGGUGCUAUUACAGCUUACAGAGGACAUGACCCUUGAUAGGAAGGUGUGGAGAACACGGAUUAGGGUAGAGGGUUAAGGGGUUGGAGGGCGGCGCUAGUAAUGGGGAGUUUCUGGUUCGUAGUAUUGUUGUUGUAGUUUUUGGGGUUAGUGGUGUUGGCUUUUUGGCAUCCCGUACUAGUUUAUUAUGCACUUAUCUUUUGUGUUUUUUAUACUGUUAGUUUAUUUUGUGCACCAUACUAGUUUAUAUGCACUUACUUUUUGUAUUUGUUAUACUGUUAUUGGUCCAAAACCGGGGUUCUAUCGGAAAUAACCUCUCUACUUUUCUUGAGGUAGUGGUAUGGUUUACGUACACUCUACCCUCCACAGACCCCACUGGGUGGGAAUACACUAGGUAUGUUGUUGUUUUUGUUGGGGUUUCAUGGAUGUCCCGGCCCCUGUUGUUCAAUUCAAAAAUGUGUUGGAAAUACAAAUGGUUUAUUAUCACGUGAGUCGUCUGACGCUGUUCGUAUUUUCAAACUCAAGUUGUUCGCUUGUGAACUAAUGUUCAAGCCCACUCUAGACACUGAGGAUAGAACGAAACCAAAACCCUAUUUUAGGCAUGAGCCUAGGAUGACCCAUUACCCGAGCGGGGUAUUGGGUCCAUUAGAGAACCCGCCCUACGUCUGUUGACCCCGAGUCAACUAUAGACGAAUAAUAUUUAUGUGUUGAUAAAAAUACAUACUUUUCUAAUUCAAUCCAAUAUCCUUUGGGGUCGGGGGAAGGCUUAUCUUUAUCUGCUUUCAUGUAGGAUAUGGCUCAACUACAUUCCUUCGAAAAGUUCAAGAUGGUUACUAAACUUGAUGAUUUCUUGAAACUAUGGUGGGACCAUAAGAGUGCAGAAGAGAAAAAGAUUGUUAGAACACACAUUGGGCAUCUUCCUUCUUUGAUCGAGAUGGACGCUUAGCCCGAAAUGAUCCAUGUACUAACAACUUUUUGGGAUGAUCAGAAUAUGGUAUUUCACUUUGGGGAUGUUGAAUUGACUCCUUCCAUUGAAGAGGUAUUGAUUUGUUAUGAGAGUACGGAAAUGUGUUUUGAGAGAAGGGAGACACCUAAUAAGAACAUUUUAGUCCCGGUAGUGUGGGAUCGUAAAAAGAUCAAGGGGGUAUUUUUAACUGAUGAUGACACUUGGCUAGGAGAACGUGACGGAACAAAUAUCACUUUAUGUGAGUUGUAUCGUCGGUUCAGGAGAGUCAAUACUUUUCACAAAUUUAGGCACAAAUAUGAGUCAGAACCAAAAUGGAAGGAGACGAGACCCUUUGCAUUUGCGGUAGGCCUACUUGGAACCGUGGUGUUCCCAUAAGGGGAAAAUGUCACAAUUCAUCCGACGGUUGUUUCAGUGAUCCAUGCACUCUUCUUUGGAAUGGAUUACAAUUCUAAAAAGGUAUUCCACAACUUAGCUCCCAUGAUUAUCGCUGACAUAUAUCGAGCUUUGGGAAGGGUUCAAGUCGAGAAUCGUUUCUUUCAAGGAUGCAACCUUAUAUUACAAUAGUGGAUAAUGAUGCAUUUGGGAAAAAAAUCCUAGAACGGCAUAACCCGACCACAAAUCAAGGUGGAAUCUGCUAGAAUAGCAUGACAUGUGGUUGUUUUUACACAAAUUCAAAAGGGAAGCAUCUCAUGAUUUUUGGUUUAAGACUUUUGGAGCAUUAAGAGAUGACGAUGUCCAGUGGUCCAUUAACUAUCUUCUUUCGGGGAAAUACAUUAUUCGAGGAGGCAAGUGGUCUUUUCUAGUACUUUCGGGUCUUAAGGGAACCCAUCCCUACAAUCCUGGAACAGUUCUUAAGCAAUUCGAGAUCAAGCAGGAGAUACCUCAAAUAGAUUCUAUGCUCAGAUUCUUCACCGAAUAUGAUGAAAGUGAGCCCCCGCUCAAAGACUACAUGAUAAAUGGAUGGAGAAGGAGAAGGUGGAUGGAAGUCUCUUUUCGUAUAGGGUAUGAACCUUAAGUCAGUGAUACUUACAAGGAGUGGUUAAAAAUGAGCCUUGCCGGAGCAUUGAUUCCGAGGCUGAAGAUGCCCACUGGGGUCGUGGAUGUAGAAUUCAAGCAUCAGAUCCAAUUCCACAGUCUUCAGGAUAAAUUUUAGAAAAGUGAAAUCACGCACUGAUAGACAUAUACAGAAGAUUCUUUAAUAAUAUGUAUGUUGAGGGAAGAGUUGAAAAGAGCUAGGCAAGAGGAUGAUGAUGCUAGGCAGUGUUUAAUCAAUUUGGAUGAUAGCAUGGCCUCUCAACUCGAUAGUAUAGGAAAAUUGACUUACGCCUGCUAGGCACAGUUAUGCGAGAGUCAUCUGAUCAUCAAUAGGUAUCAAAUAGCACAGGAGGUUAACAAGGCAAAGAAGGCAAAGACAGACGAAGGAGCCUCCGGUAGCUAGUUUUUCUAUUUCCCCUGUGUGGGAACUUAUUUUUUUCACGUUAUUUCCCUUUUUUUACAUAAGAUUGUAUCCCUCUUUUGUUAUUUUUUGUAGGAAUUUAUGCCCUUUUUCAUGUCUAUAUAAGUUAGGGGAUAAUGGAUUGACUUUAAGGAAACAUAUAUUUUCUUCAAAAUCGUUAGGCCUGAACCCUUCGUCCAAAAAAGGUCACCCCUAUUAGGAUACACAUUAUUAUAAUUUUUUGUGUGAUAUAAUUGUCUUAUAUGAUUAUGUAUGUUUAUUUGGAUCAAAGGCAAGUUUAUCCGCCAUACUCCUAUGGAUGAAUUUAGCUAUGACUCAAACAACUCUAUGUGGUUAUUUCUUGUCAAAUAUUUUGCAUUACUUAUCACAUACGAAAACUAACACAUCUGCCUUUGAGUUGUUUUACUUAAAAAAUAGUAGAAACUACUCCGUGUUGAUAUAAGCUAGCAGAAAGUCCCUACAUCACCCGGUCAAAAGCGGACAAAAUCCCAUUCUCUGACCAUCAUUAAAUAAUGACCAGAAAUGAUGAAGAAAAUACAUUGACCAUCAGGGACAAUCAUAUAGCAGAACAGAGUGAGAUGAUUGCGAAAUUCGCAAGAAAGCUUGACAUGCUUCAGGAGGAAAUAAAUCAUGCUCGAGAUUUGGCUCACCUGGCCAUCACUGUUAAUGCUCCCGCUCUAGGAAGACACGAGACUCCACUCCAAAUCCCUUCCCUCAGUACGCCUAUUCUAGGGGAUCAGCCAAAAAACAUAUCGUCCAUCUCUGCCCCUCCACUUGUCCAAAAUACCUGUCAUGAAAAUAACCCAGAUGCCUACCAUCCACAAAAUCCACCACUAACACCACCAAACCCAUCUUCAAAUCCAUUCCCAAAUCCCCAGAACCAUUUGCAAAUCAACAAAAUUCGUGUCCAAAUCCACAAGAUUCACUCCCAAAUCCAAAAAAUCCAUCCUCGAAUCUUCCAUUGAAUCUAUCCCCGAAUCUACCAAAUUUGUUUCCAAAUUCACAAAAUCCUUCUCAGAUGCCACCAAGAUACUCGCAAAUUUCACAAAACCUUUCUAAAUUUCAAAACGUCCUCCCCACCUACCAACUAACUUUCUUUCAUCCGCAAAAUCAAGCCUUCCUUCCAAAUCCUCCUCUUGCCAUCAUAUCCCCUGACAUCUAUAAUCCCCUUCCUAAUCCGGAGAUGGACCAUUCCGAAGAAAAGGAGAAAGAAUGGAGGACCAAGCAUGAAAUGAAGUUGCUAGCUAUGUUUGAAAAAAUCAGGAGGAUCAAAGAAUCUCAUAGAGCGAGGGACCAUGAAGGUUUAGGGUACAAUGACUUAUGUGUUCACCCUAGAGUAGAUCUACAACAAGGGUAAAAGGUCCCUAAAUUUGAUGUGUUUGAUGGUGUCGGAAAUCCAAUGGCCCAUAUGAGGAGGUACUAUAAGCAACUCGUGGAGAUCGAGAAAAAUGAGGCGUUACUGAUGUUCCUAUUCAACCAAAGUUUAAGUAGUGAAGCCUUAGAGUGGUUCAUGUCUCAGCAGCCAAAAAAAUGGACUGGUUGAAAGUCUUGGUCAAGGGUUUCCUCGACAGGUUCGCAUUCAACAUUGAAAUAGUCCCGGACCAGUAUUCACUAGAUUGAAUCAAACAAAAGAGUGAUAAGUGUUUCCGAGACUAUGUUUUUCAUUGGAGGAAGGAAGCUGCCAAAGUACAACCCCCAUGUCCGAGGAUGAAAUAGUAUUUACGUUCUCUCGCGCAUAAGAAGAAGAAUAUUAUACCAGGAUGGUGUCCGCUGUUAGGGCGACUUUCGUGGAUUUGGUACAAAUAGGAGAAUAAUUGGAAGAGGUAUUCGGAUAGGAAAAAUUAUGAAAAAGCCGACAUCAUCCGGGACUACUAUGUUCUUGAAGAAGAAAAAGGAAGAUGUAAGCACAAUUUCUGCUGGUUCUGUUGCAAAAACAAAAAAGAGAUUCAACUCUAGGAAUGCUUUCUCUUCUCCGUCCUCACCAAACCUUCAGCAUGUGUUCUACGCCCACCGCCAAUACCAAGCUCCACUUUCAAAUGUCCAACCUCAUUACCAAACUCUACUCCCAAACAUCCCAUCUCAGUACCAAACUCCACUUCCAAAUAUCUAAUCCCAAUACCAAGCUCCACAACCAAAUAUCUUUCCCCAAUAUCAAGUUCUACCUCCAAAUUAUCAGUCUCAUGUCCAAUCCACUCUUUCAAAGAACCGAAUAAAUAUCCAAGAACCUCCAAAUUAUCAUCAAGUACCUCCUCCUGCAAAGCAAAGCCACUAUAACCUCCCACAUCUAAACUACGAAAAGAAACCUCCGCGAAACUUCACACCACAAGCUGAAAGUUGCACUCAAAUGUUUGAAAGACUAAGAACGCUGGUCAUUUGCAACCGAUAUAGUCAAAUCGUGUCAAUCCCAACUCCCAAUUUUAUCAUCCUGAUCAAAAUUGUACCUAUCAUUCAGGAGGAGCAGUAGGGCACAGUACCAAGGACUAUUUUAUCUUGAAACACAAGAUCCAAGAUCUGAUUGAUCAAAAGGUUAUCACGCUUCAGUCAACAAUCCAAAAUGUCAACAAAAACCCAUUGCCUAAUCAUGGGGGACCUACAAUUAACAUGAUUGAAAUGGAAGGAGAAUGGGCAUCUGGCAAGACUAUUACUAAGGUGAAUUCAGAAGAGUGCAAAAGGGAGGAAGAGGUAGAAAAGAUAGAGAGAGUUGUAGCUGCCUUAAGUGUCAAUGAGAAAGCCCCAUUUAUAGUGAUUAUGGCCUCGAUCCAAGUGUAAACUCCCCCGCCAAGGAAGGAAUUUAUUGUACAGACCGUUGCUGCCCAAGGGAUAACGCGGUUAGGACGAUGCUACAUCCUUCAAGAAUUUACCAACAAAAAAUAAUUCACAGAAAAGGCUAAUCACUAAAGGGGAGGCUAAGGAAUUUUAGAUGCAUAUGCAACCGAAAGAUUAUUUAAUUGUCAAACAUUUAGAGAAGACGCCAGCCCAAAUCUCCAUUUUGGCACUAUUAAUGAGUUUACAAUACCUCCGACAAGCUUUAUCGAAGGUCUUGGAUGAAGCGUAUGUUCCUGUAGGAACGAGUAUUGAGAACCUAGCUUCGAUGAUAGGAAGAAUUAUGGGGAAUUUUUGCAUAUUAUUCAGUGAUGAAGAGUUGCCAUUUGAAGGAGCGAUGCACAACAAACCCUUGCAUGUCAUUGUUAUUUACCGAGAUUAUGUGAUUAAUCAGGUAUUAAUAGAUGAUGGAUCUGGUAUAAUUUUUAACCCCUCUCCACGUUGGUUCAAAUGGGCCAUGAUUUGGGAAAAAUUUGUCAAAGCCACAUAAAUGUGAGAGCAUACGAUGGAGGGUAGAGAUAUAACAUAGGAUAAAUUUAUUUGUUUAUCCAAAUGGGACCUGUUGAGUUCACAACUAUGUUUCAUAUUAUGGAUAUUCAUCCUAGCUACAACCUACUCUUGGGAAGACCAUGGAUACAUAGUGCAAAGGACGUUUUAUCACCCCUUCAUCAACUAUUGAAGUUCAUUUGGGAGGACCAUGAAGUAGUCAUCCAAGGGGAAGGAAGCCGAGCAGAUCGUCCCAAUGGUUAUGUGCCAGUGAUUGAAGAUGUUCCAAAGGGUAGUAGUUUCAGUACGGUUAAAAUUAUAAAUAUUAUGGAGAAGGAUCUGACGCUCAAAGAGCCAAUGCCUUCUAUCUACAAAAUGAUUGUGGCGGUGAUACUAAGAAAUAGAUUCGAGCCUGGUCGGGUUUGGGUAAUAAUCUACAAAGAAUUAUUGAGCCUGUUAUAAUCCUAGAGAAAGCCUCUAAGUAUAGGUUAGGAUAUUAGCCUACCGAGAAGGAUAUAGUUGAGGAUAAGUUAGAGAAGAGUUUGUGUAGGCCCUUUCUGCUCCUGUACCAGUCAUUUCCUGUAUGGGAUGUGUUGAAUAAUGAUGGUAUUGAGGAUGGGAUAGGAGAUUUGUUCGAGGUAUGCAAUGCUAUACCAGAAGAUUUCCCAAAAUCUGGCAGGGUGAAGAAGAUUGCGCCAGUUGAGGCCUUGCAAAAAUGGACCUCCACUCCACUCAUAACCCAUCGCCCAUUGUGGUAGAUGAAAGGGCAAUUACUAAUAGUUUUAAAAUCAGUGAUGAUCUGAAAGAGGCCCCGCGAUCCACCUUUUAUAUGUCAAAACUUUCUUUUUGUAUUUUACUGCUUUUGAAAAGAUAUGGACUUGUAUUUUCGCUAGUCAUGAGCCAUGGUUUUGUAAUUAUCUCGAAAAUUUCAUUAAAAAGUCCUUCAUUCAUUUAAAAAAAAUUAUUAUUCUUAAAACAUUCCUAUUCAUAUAUUUUAUUAUUAUCUCACUAUCAUCUAACUUGGUUUGUUUGUCCAUUAAAGUAAUAGUAACCUAAAAUCUUCCAAUGUCAUGUUAUGUCAAAGCUUAGAUGAACAAAAUGGAGGGAAUGAUGAUGAUUGGAAGGACAGUGAUGAGGAACAAUUAGUUGAAGAUAUAGAGGAGUUUGAGAAUCGAGAAAAGCCUAACCUAGAGGAAACUAAAAUAGUCAACCUUUGAGAUCAUCAUGAAAUCGAAGAAACAAGUGUCAGCGUCCACCUGGCAAAAGCACAAAAGAGAGAGCUCAUUCACCUGUUGCGGAAAUAAAUUGACGUGUUUGAUUGGUCCUAUGAUGAUAUGCUGGGAUUGAGCACCAGUGUUGUGUCGCAUAAGUUGUCGAUAAAUCCAGAGUUUGAUCCAGUCAAGCAAAAAAUGCGGAAAUUCAAGCCAUAUUUAAGUUUAAAGAUCAAGGAAGAAGUGAAAAAACAAAUCUAGUCUAAGGUUGUGGAGGUCACAAAAUAUCCGACGUGGUUGGCCAACAUCGUCCCUGUGCCGAAGAAGGACGGCAAGAUUCGAAUUUGUGUUGACUAUAAAGACUUGAAUAGAGCCAGUACUAAGGAUAAUUUUUCAUUGCCUAACAUCCACAUCCUCAUCGAUAACUAUGAAAAGCAUUAAAUGAAGUCCUUAAUUGAUUAUUUCGCCAGGUAUCAUCAGAUAUUGAUGGAUGAGGAAGAUGCAGAAAAUAUGGCUUUUAUUUUUCCCUAGGGUGUUUAUCAUUAUAGGCUAAUGUCGUUUAGUCUCAAGAAUGCAGGUGCAACAUAUAUGAGGGCUAUGACGAUGAUUUUCCAUGAUAUGAUCCAUAAAGAGAUUGAGGUGUACGGGGAUGAUAUAAUUAUCAAAUCUGGCGAGAGUUUGAAUCAUCUGAAUUAUCUAGAGAAAUUCUUCAACAGAUUAAGAAAGUAUAGUUUGAAGUUAAAUCCUGCUAUGUUUGCUUUUGGUGUGCCAUCAGGGAAGUUGCUAGGGUUCUUAGUUAGCAGAAGAGGCAUCGAUUUAGACCCAUCCAAAAUCAAGACAAUCCAGGACCUCCCACCACCGAGGACCAAGAAGGAAGUUAUGAGUUUCAUGGGUCAUUUGAAUUACAUUAGCAGGUUCAUCUCUUAAUCGACAGUUAUAUGCGAGCCAAUUCUCCAGAUGUUGAAGAAAAAUGCAUUGAAUGAGUGACAGAAGAAUGUCAGAGAGCUUUUGACCACAUCAUGGAAUAUCUGUCUGCACCGCCGAUUUUGGUUCCACCAAGAGAAGGAAUUCCAUUAUUGCUUCUACCUGUCAUUCUCAGAAAAUGCUUUUGGAUGUGUCCUCAGGAAACAUGAUGUGACCGGUAAGAAAGAGAAAGACAUUUACUACUUGAGUAAAAAGUUUAUGCCAUAUGAAGCCCGUUAUACUCUUGUAAAAGGGACAUAUUGCGCUUUGACUUGGGCCGCACAAAAGUUAAGGCAUUAUCUGUCUUCGUAUAUGACAUACCUCACUUCGAGAAUGGAUUCAUUGAAGUAUAUAUUCCAGAAGUCCAUGCCUACAGGAAAGCUAGCAAAGUGGCAAAUAUUGCUGAGCGAGUUUGACAUCGUGUAUGCAACUCAAAAGGCAAUCAAGGGGCAAGAUUUGGCAGAUUAUUUGGCAGAGAAUCCAGUUAAUGAUGAGUAUGAACCACUUCGAACUUACUUACCAGUCGUGGGAGAAGACAUUACAAAAAUUUACCCUGGAUGGAGGUUAUUCUUUGAUAGAGUGGUGAACUUCAAAGGUUCAGGAAUCGAAGAAGUGUUGGUCUCAGAAAUGGGUCAACAAUAUCCAGUAACUGCUAAGUUGCAUUUCCCAUGAACCAACAACAUAGCCGAAUAUUAAGCUUGCAUCCUGGGUCUCAAAUUGGCACUUGAUAUAGGUGUUCGUGAAUUGCUAGUCAUCGGGGAUUUAGAUUUGCUGAUUCACCAGGUACGGGAGAAUGGGUGGUAAAAAAUUCCGAGAUUACUCCUUAUGUUGAGCUGGUACAGGAAUUAUGUGUAAAAUUUAAAGAAGUUGAUUUCAGACAUAUCCUAAGGAUACAAAAUGAGUUUGCUGAUGCUUUGGACACUAUAUCCUCCAUGAUUCGGCACCCAGAUCAGAGUUACAUUGAUCCUUUGGAAAUAAUCUUGAAACGCAUUGUGAACGUGUUGAAGAGAGCCCAAUGGAAAGCCAUGGUACUAUGACAUUAAAAGGUAUUUAGAAUCUGGAAUAUAUCCUUAAGAGGCCAACAAUAACGAAAAGAAAACAAUCUGGCAUUUGGCAAAAAACUACUUUCCAAGUGGGGAAUUUCUUUUUAGGAGGACGCCUAAUUUAGGAUUUUUGAGAUGCGUCGAUGCUGCAGAAACCAAUAAAUUGAUAAAAAAGUACAUGCAAGAGUUUGCGGACCCCAUAUGAAUGGGUUUGUCCUUGCCAGAAAGAUCCUGAGAACAAGCUACUUCUUGAUGACUAUGGAGAAUGAUUGUAGUAAGUAUGUGCAGAGAUGUCCAAAAUGUCAGUCACACAGAGAUUUGAUUCGAAUGCCUCUACAUGAGCUUCAUACAAUGAAUUCACCUUGGCCUUUCGUGUCUUGGGGCAUAGAUGUUAUUGGACCGAUAGAGCCAUCAACAUCGAAUGGGCAUAGAUUUAUUUUGGUUGCCAUUGACUACUUUACUAAGUGGGUCGAAGCUGCAUCAUACAGAGCCAUCACUAAGAAAGUAGUUGCAAUUUCAUCAGGAAUAACUUGAUUUUUUGAUUCGGAGUGCCGGAAUCAAUCACUAAUGAUAAUGGGGAAAACUUGAACAAUCAAUUGAUGAAAGAAAUUUGUGAUCAGUUCAAAAUUGUGCAUCACAACUCGGCCGCAUAUCAUCCACAGAUGAAUGGAGCCAUAGAAGCUGCCAAUAAGAACAUCAAGAAGAUAUUGAGAAAGAUGGUUGAAAACGAUAGAUCAUGGCAUGAGAUAUUACCUUAUAUUUUUCUAUGAUAUCGCACAAUAGUUCGAACCUUCAUUGGGGCAACUCCCUAUUUGCUGGUUUACGGGAAUUAAGCUGUGAUACCUGCUGAGGUUGAAAUACUUUCCCUGAGGAUUAUUCAAGAAGCCGGACUAAGUAACAAAGAGUGGGUUUGCGCUCGUUGAGAACAACUCAUGUUGAUUGAUGAAAAGAGAAUGGUUGCCAUGUGUCAUUGUCAGUUAUAUCAGCACAGGAUAAUUCGUGCUUUCAAUAAGAAAGUGAGAGCUCGAACAUUUAAAGUUGGGAAAUUAGUUCUCAAAUGCAUACUCCAUCACCAAGAAAAGUACAAGGGCAAGUUCACUACAAAUUGGCAAGGUGCAUACAUAGUUCGCAAGGGACUAUCUGGAGGGGCUCUGAUUUUGUCUGAGAUGGAUGGCCAUGAGUGGACCAAACCAAUCAAUUCUGAUGAGGUGAAAAGAUACUAUGUUUGAAGGGAGUUCUAGUUUUAUGGUUCUUAGUUUAUCUGUAAUCGCGGUGUAAUAAUGUGUUUUAUGAUGUGUAAUUGCCUAGAACACCUUUCCCUUUAUGUACGAACUACGUUUGACCUGAAUUCCGAAGAAAGGGAUACGUAGGCGGCCCAUGUCGGCUUCAGUCAACCCCUUAAAAAAUUUAUCCUUUCCCUUUAUGUAUGAACUACGUGAUGACCUGAAUUCCCAAGAAAGGGGUACGUAGACGGCCAAUGUUGGCUUCGGUCAACCUAUUAAUUUCUUUUGUAUAUCCUUAGCGUAGUCCUGAACUAUGUUUGACCUGAUUCCUGCUUCAACGGGAUACGUAGAUGCCCCAAUGGCUCAGUCAUAUAAAACCAGGAAAUGAAAACUAGGGCACAAUUUUUUAGAAGGAAUCUCUAAAAUUCACAAGAGAAGAUCAAUAUCCAACAAAGAGAAUGAAGAUCAGCAAAGACUUCAGAUCCACUCAAGAUGAUCUCAUCACAGCCUACUUUAAAUUGGGGCAGAAAUUUUUAGGGAGGCCAUAAAAUUUCAAUCAAAUACUGGAAUAUAUUUCAGAUUCCCCAGCACUAGAGGUCGAAGUUGAGAUUUGAGAAUAACUACCUGUGAUAAAGUCUAGGAAGACUGAAUCUCUAUCUUUGAUAAAACCUUUGGUAGAGAGCCUCGAUAAUGAUGAAUCCCUAGCUAUCCUCCGUCAUACGUCAGACAUUGUAAGAAUCAAGAGAAAGAAGGUCGUUGAGCUAGCACAUGACAUGAGUAGCAAGGAUUUUUCAAAGUUUUGCAGGAGUUCUCGAAACUAUUUUCUAAAAGUUGAGAGUACUUUCAAAAAAUAUAUAUAAAUCUUUUACUUAGUGAUUGCCUAGACAUCAAUUAGGACGGAGAGUGAUGGGUGGAAGUCCCAAUCAAAUACCUAAAAGAUGGCGAAGGGAAAAUCAAGGAUCGAAGGAGGUCAACACGGAGUAGUUUCACUCAAACUAAUCAUUUUUUGUGGGCACAGGGGCCAAUACAUAAAAAUGAGAGUCUCUUUCAAAAAUCCCCGAGCAAAUUGCGAGCCACACCAGAGCACUAAUUAUUAAGAACGGUAUUUUUGGGUAGCCCUAAAAAUGGGUUUAGUACCCAUAUAUUGAAGACCUUUUGAAGUGUCCAUAUUAUUUCUUGAGAUCAUGGAGGACAAGCAAAAGUGUCUUGUCUCCUUUACAAAUAUUGUAUUUAGAAUUUUUCUAAAAAACAGUCGCUAGCAAAAGUGACUUUGUGUCCACUAAUCGUCUACCUUGAGUACAGGUACAUGCUGAAAGCAAGACCCUGACAAAUGAUUUUAGGUGAAACUAUUUUUAAUUUACUGGAAGAACCAUUGCAUAUCAUUACCGAAAGGAUCAUUGCAUAAUAUCGCCAAGAAUCUUAUACCAUUUCCCAAGAAGGAUAUUCAAUAUCUGUUGAUACACUAGACACAACGCUGGCGUCAAGGAUAUCAUCAACAUUCAAUAUAUCUAUUGACACGCAAGACCCAAUGCUGGCGUCGAGGAUAUCAUCAUCAUUCAAUAUCUGUUGAUACACUAGACACAACGCUGGCAUUGAGGAUGUCAUCAUCAUUUUAUAUCUGUUGACACGCAAAACACAAUGCUGUCGUCGAGGAUAUCAUCAUCAUUCAAUAUCUAUUGACAUGCUAGACAGAAAUGCUGGAGUCGAGGAUAUCAUCAUCAUUCAAUAUCUAUUGAUGUGCUAGAUAGAAAUACUGGUGUCGAGGAUAUAAUCAUCAUUCAAUAUCUGCUGACAUGCUAGAAAGAAAUGCGGGCAUCGAGGAUAUCUCAUCAUUUUAUGAAUCAACAUCUGAAUGCAUCGAGAGUAUUUGAUUUGAAGGGACGCCUUUAAGUCUCUAUCUAAGGAUGAAUGAUAUAUAAGAUUUCCUAGAAAUUGACAAUUUGAGGGUUAUCUAUAAGUCAUAUUAUUCGAAAUAGGAUAGUUCAAAGGUUAUCCAUAAGUCGCAACUAAAUCCUUACCGGAGAAUAUGCAAGAUUACCAAAUUGAUAAGUCUAAGGGUUCUCUAUAAGCCGCGUCAUAUCCAAGACCAAUUAUGUGCAGGAUUACCUAAUGAGUAACAAUAUGAGAGAUUAUCUAUAAGUCAUAUUGUAACCAAGGUCGGAUGACGUGGAGGAACCCUGAAAGGUAGCGAUUAGAAAGAUAUCUUUAAGCCAUCUCUUAUCCAAAGUCAGAUAAUGUGCAGUAUUACCUAAAAGCUAGAAAUUCAAAGGAUAUUUGUAAGUCGCCUCAUAUCCAACAUCAAAUAAUGUGCAAGAUUAUCCAAAGAUUAAAAAUUUAAGAAAAAUUUAUACAUCAAUCAUCGGCUAUAACUGGAGAGGUUAUCAUUCCACAUACAACAAGUGAUAGAGGUAACCAAAAGGGUUUCCACACCAGCACAAGAUUACACGAUUGUAGGGACCGUUCUGUAUAAAGUAUCUACAAUCAACAAAUGUCAUAAUUAUACAACAACCAAGAGGGUUGUUGUGUUUGUUGUUGCCAGAUAUUUCAUUCCAAACAGGUACAUAAAGAGAUGAUUUCGCUUUUCAGGCCACAACUUAUGUGGAGAUAUGGUAAAAGACUACAUACCUUUUUCGUGAAUUAUGUUUAGCAAUAACACUUUUUCUUAAAGCAUUGUUGAGAGCAUCAGAGAGGAUGAAAAUCUCAAAUAAAAACCACAGGUGCGGAUCACUUCAGAUAGAACACAGCAUAAUGUGGAACUUUUUCUUAGCAGCAAAAUAGGACAUAGUCUAAAGAGAGAUGUCAAACUCUCUGGAUGCGAGCUAAAGGAUGAUCACCAUCACCAUCUAACCACGCCCCAAUUAGAAGGCAUGUGGGUAUUUCCGGGAUAUUCUGGUUUCCGCCUCAUCUUUGAGAUAUUUCUAAACUCAUAUCGAGGGUAACCUCCUCUUUCUUUCAAAGUCGGGUGACAACAACCUCAGAGUUUGGAAAUUAUGUCCGCGUAAUGUAUUUUCUAUGGUUGUGAAGGAUCCCACAUUCAUGUUUAAGAGGUUACAAUCCUCUUUUCCAAAACUCGAUCAACUUGUCACUCAUCCUGAGCCAAAGAUCGUCUGCAAUAAAAGACUAUCAUUUCUACCGAUCGAGUCAAACUACAAGUACUCUGAUUCCCUAAAAUCUUGGGGAUAUGUAGGCUGGGAUCUAUGUAGAAAACUCGACUACAUUCUAACCUCCCCCCUAAUCCCUUUAUUCCCCAGUUUCUUGGUUUUAUCAAAAACUCUAAAACCGAGAUAGUUGAUGAAUUUUCUUAAAAAUCGUGCUUAAAAUCAAGCUUUAUGAAAUGCAAGUGGCCGAAAUUCUCAUGAAAACUGAGAUAUGUAGGAAACCUGAUACCAAGGAUCGGCCAUAACUACAUGAAACUCGUGAGGAAAACCAACCUCUCUUAGAUACGAAUUUGUGGUCGGACAAAAAUUGUAAACGUCAACCUCCAUUUUCCCAGAAAUACUUACAUCCAUCCUGCCCAAAGGGAGGGGGUAGUUGUUCACACCUAAGUUUUUGCCCUCCACAACUAAAUUUAAUCCUAAGUUUCUUCACUUCUUAAUAAAAUCGGAAUAUUUAUUUCAUUCGAAUAAAAUUUUUUCAAAAAUAUAUUUGUACGUAAUUUUGUCAUCUUAAGUAGCAAUUAUAUAUUAUCAUGUUCAAAUAUACGAUAUUAUAUGAUUUGAUUACUUAGAUAUUUACUGUAUGAAAUAUCAGAUUUCAAUUAAGGAUCAUUUUGAAAAAUAAUAAUUAAAAUCUUGAUCUAAAUAUAAUUUAUUCUCGAAAAUAAUUUAUUUGAAUAAAUAUGCGUUUGAUUUUAUUAAAUCAAGAAGCUCAGGAUUAAACAAGGUGUUAAUUCGUAUCAAAUUUCGAUUUAAUUUAGUCAAUUUAUUAAAUUAGACCUUAAUUGAAAUUAAUUUGACCAUAAUUGCAAUGUAAUUGGUCAAUUUAAUUCGAAUUAGGCUAAAAUUUAAAAAUGAUUGUCUAAAUUUUCAUCCAUUGGCUAUUUGAUAAAUAGCCUAAAUCGCUACAUUACUAAAAUCCUAAUUCUACCCAACAAUAUUCAGAUCACUCCAGCCCAGUUCCUUUUCAUAUUAACAGGCCCAAAAUCCCUGACCCGACCCACCAUCAACAAAUCCCCCUUUCUCCCUUAAUCAGCAAAAACUAGUCCCCAACGCAAAAAACAAUCAAAAAUGGCGUACAUUCAAGGAACUCGAACAACAAUGACAAGCUCGAUUCAGUGAAUCCACCAUGGAACCAACCCGAUAUAGAUCCUAAACCGUUCUUUUUCCCUCUUUCACGCGUCUCACGCGGCAAUAGCAUAAGGAAAACCCUAGAAUCUUUUAGAAAAUGGGAUAGGUGUCUUAUCCAAGGGUUCAAUCCUACAAAUUUCGGGAUAACUCGUACGAUCUCGUACAAUAUUUGGCUUAUUUCCAUAGGUUUUGGGGAAGAAUUCAUUUUCCCCUAAAUCUCAUUGCUCCACCAAUUUCAAUAUUAGUACAAUCGAUUGAUGAAACCCUAAGCGGUGAGAGGAUUUUUGAAUUUUAAAAUUCAAAAACAUACUUCUUUUAAAUCACCAAAAGACCCCUAAUUUGGGGGAUAUAAAAAGACCCCUUAGGUCACUAUUCCGGGAGAUUUUUUUCUCUUCUUUGAGGUAUUUUUGGUUUCUUCUCUCCUCUGCUUUCCCUUAGGAGUUGGAAAUUUUAGAAGCCUCUGUUUUUUUUUGUUUAGAGAAAUUUUAGGUUCGAAAAAAGGGGGAAAUUCUUAGGUUGGAAAAUUUUAGGUCAUGGUUGAGGGUUACUUUCCCUUCGAAGGUGGAAAAAUUAAGUGAGAAAGCUAGGUUGGAACAUUUUUCUGAGAAAAAUUUCUGAUUCGGAAAAACUGAGAUAGAGGGAAGAAAGAAAAAGAAAAGAUUUCUGAAGAAAGAUUAAAUCUUUGAAGUUUUCCGGUGGUCGUGAUCCCCGUAUUAGUUCAUCGUCUUGUUUUGUUGCUCCCAAAAAGGUAACGUCCUGUUUUCGCUUAAUUUCAAUUAUAUUUCUACUCCCUCUCAUUAUUCUGUAGUAAUGACUGUUAUUUCAAAGAUUUUGUAAGUUGGGUUGUCUGCUGUAGAGGUCUUUAAGACCACAGGUUUCCAUUUUAGUGAAAGCCAAUGUUUCUUUGUAGUGCUACGUUGGGAUGAAAUCCUGUUGUGAUUGUAUGACAUGUGGUAUUCAUCAUCUUUAGAUCUCGAUUUCGUGAUUGGUCAUCUACUCUCAGCAUUACUGAUUAAUUUCCGUCCUAAUGUAUCAUAGUGUGGACUGUCUACGAUUUGAAGAAGUUAAAGAUCAUAUUUUGGUUCUUGCUUAACAAUUUUCAUCCUCUUGUUGCCUUGAUUCGUAGUUGUUGUUUUAUAAUCUUAAGUGCUGAGUGUAGCUCGUUCGGAGGCUAUGAAAGCCCCAAGUUUCAUAUGAUAAACUGUGAGCUUUCAAACUUUGUUGUUGUUUCGGCAUUUAGGACAUAUUGAUUUUUAGAGUUUCUGAUUUCAUUAUAAUUCAUCUGGGAGCAUUUGCUUUUGUUCAUACAAUGUUUUUGAUGAAAAUUUUCUUCGAAUUCGACUUUCGUGAAUGCCGUAUUGUUUAAAUGAUGACCUUCUAGCCUAAGGAUUGUUGCUAAUAUCCUGUUCUAAAAAAAAAGAAGGGUUACUGAGUCACUUUAUUCCCGUAAAUGAUUGAGUAAAAGUGCAGUGUUUCUUUUCUGUUAUAAAGGAUGAUAGGGUCAAAGGGUUUUGCAUUCUCUUUGGGAGUUGCUAUUAGGAGCCUCCUUUGUGACCUUUAUUUAUAAAGGUGAAAUAAAAAUAAGUCGAUACUAUUUAUAGUAUAUUCUCUCAUUUCACCUGCUUUGAUAUGAGUUUAACACAUACACUUAGAGUUAUUAGUUGAAAUUGUUUCAAAAAAAAAAAAAUUAGCUUUUCUUGCAUCGUUACUAACUCGUAUGAGCUGUUAUAUCUUCUUUAUGAAACUUUUAGGAUCCUGUUUGUUUGUCUAUUAAAUACAUCUCUUCCCACAUCAUCUUAUUGAUGUUGGGCAAAAAAAAUGUUUUUAGUUGCAUUGCUUCUCCCCUAUUUCCUAUUUACUUCAGUACCUAAGGUUAAGAGUUUUGGAUACGUUUGAAUAUCGAAUAGUUUCCACAUUUUAUUUAAAGCCAUCCUUUCUUUUUCGUAUUAUCGUUUGCUAAAAAAUUUUUGAUAGGAUAAAAGUUGUUUGCGUGCUGUAUGUAUGGUGACAUGCCUAAUAAUGUGCUUACUCUGUGGGAACAUGUUGUUAUUUCUUCUCUCAAAGAUAGGUCUAGUAAAUUUGGGAGAAAUUCUAUUUUAGUUGCUUCCUGAUUCUUCCCAACUCUUUGUUGUUAUCUUGAGUUUUAGUAAUAGCCAUCUAUACCUAAAAGGGCUAGAGAACAUUAAUCACCAAAUGAAAAUAUAUAUAUAUAUAUAAUAAUAAUAAUGAUUAACUCCUACGCACAUUAAAUUGGUCUGAUUGCUAUUUUCCAUCACAAUGCAUGUGUGAAGUUGAUUCAUUUCUCUUGAAAUUCUAUACUUUGAACCAUUGUGGGUUCCUUUUCAUCGAUUGAUCCAUCAUACUACUUAUUUGUGUGGCGUUUGGUAUUCUGGAUGCGUUUUGAUUUCCUUUAUCUUUUUCCUUGCAAGUUAAUUCGUUUUGGAGUACGAAUGGAUUCUUUCCCAUUGCAUCUCUUAAUGGGCCAUUGAGGCCCUCCAUGCCUAUCAAUUCAAGCACC
RNAcentral lists this long non-coding RNA (55877 nucleotides) under Capsicum annuum. RNAcentral describes it as "long non-coding RNA (CANN_LNC010775)". Lineage: Eukaryota; Viridiplantae; Streptophyta; Magnoliopsida; Solanales; Solanaceae. The record is from RNAcentral.